This 45112-nucleotide long non-coding RNA is filed under the name Malus domestica (apple). RNAcentral describes it as "long non-coding RNA (MDOM_LNC008886)". Lineage: Eukaryota; Viridiplantae; Streptophyta; Magnoliopsida; Rosales; Rosaceae. The record is from RNAcentral.
AUCUCAAACCUACGAGUUUUCAUUAAAGGGAGGGCUCUAUGUCCUUGCAUGUGGACCAGGACAAGGUGAUGUAAUUUGUCUAUAAAUGAUGAAACAGUCGAGUUGUGGGAAAUAUGUAGAUCGAUUGACAUGAAACCUUUUUAUCUUGUCCAAACAGUCAUCAAAUUCUAAUAUGUUGAAAAGCUGUGUGGAGAAUGGAUAUAAUUAGAUGACUAGAUUUCUUCAUAAGUAAUCCAUUUACGUACCUUAGUUAGUGGGGUGUAUAUUGUUUUUCUGCUUCUUCAUAAUCCCAAAUGAUCGUAUAACUAAUAUGGUCAUUGUUUGUACCAUACUUGACCAAUCCCGAAACUACUGAUCACGGGUCAACAUUAUACCGUCAAGGACCCAGAAGAGUUUCCCUCCAACCAGGAGGCCAAUCACAGUGCGACACGUGUCGACAUCAGAAGUCAAUCACAGCGCGACAUGUGUCAACAUCAGAAGCUAAAUGAAACUAGAAACUUUCUUCUAUAAAUAGAGAUCAUUCUCUCACAAUAUUCCUAAUGUCAUUUGUACUAAAUCAUUCACUUGUACUCACUAAAGGAGAGCUUGAACCUAUGUACUUGUGUAAACCCUACACAAUUAAUGAGAAUCUCCUCUACUCCGUGGAUAUAGUCAAUCUGGGUGAACCAUGUACAUAUUGUGUUUGCUUCCCUGUCUCUAUCCAUUUACAUACUUAUCCACACUAGUGACCGGAACAAUCUAGCGAAUGUCACAAACUUAACACUUUGUUAUACCAAAGUCCUCAUUGAUUUUGUGCAUCAACAGUUAUGAUAAGCCAAUGUUCUUUGAUCACAAACUGUUGAGAUGUGAGUGAUUAUGUGUUGACUGGUAGCCAACAAAAUACACUAAGAUAUUAUGAUACAUUUAUCGACAAUAUAGGUACUCUUUAUCAACAAAAUAUGACAUCCUGCACUAUAUGUACAAGACUAACCAUGACUCAUAAAUCCUAAAGCUACAAAGCAAGGCGCACCUCUUCAUGUGGAAACUUGGCAUACCAAUUCAUCCAAAUUACAAUAUGUAGUAUCGUUGAGUCUAUAUGUUGUAAUGUAAGUGAAUUGGUGAUAUAACGUGAUAUUAUUACUGUCAUACUAAAUUUUAUUAACAAAAAUUAAGAAUAUUGUUUUGUCCAAUCAUAACUAUUUUUGUUGACGUUUGCAUGGCACAACCAAAAUCGUAUGUCACGUUGCACUUAUUCUCUAAAGCAAACCUAACUCACUUUAAACUCCUACUGCACUCUCCACGUAUAUUUCAAGUACUUUUUAAGAAGUUAUUUGUAUCAUAUAGAAAACCUUACUCAGAUCGCUACAAUUAGAAGAAAUUAUUAGGUAGUAUAUAUAGGGGUGUGAUAUCCACACAUCUUUUUUUACUUCUCACACACCCUUCUAAUUUUUGGCCGUCGGAUCGGAUAAAAUGAAGAAGAUCAACGAACAUAAAUUAACAAGGGGUGUGUGAGAAGUAAAAAAGGGUGUGUGGAUAGCACUAUCCACACAUCCCUUUUUACCACACAUCCUUUUUUACUUCUCACACACCCUUUGAUAAUUUAUGUCCGUUGAUCUUCUUCAAUUCAUCCGAUCCAACUGUCGAAAAUUAAAAAAGUGUGUAAAAAGUAAAAUGGGAUGUGUGGAUAUCACACCCCUAUAUAUAUUUAUUUGAUGGUCUGAUGGAUGAUGGAUCUCUGUUCGCAAGAGUAAUAAUUCUUCACAAGUUCGCAUCAGAAACAUUGUUAUCAUGUCCUUUAUCUAGUUGUCAUCAUCAUAAGUUAAGGAAAUACCAAAGUAUAUUAGCUUUAGAUACGUUUAACAAAACUAUUCUCUUUUUGGUUUAUAUAUAACCGCCCAACAGUACGUAUUAUUAUCUUCGAAUAUCAUGUGUACGCGUACAUUAGAAAAAUAAAAAGUAAAACAAUUGUUUCUCACAACGGAAAUUCCUAUUGAGUAGUUCGAUAUGUUUGCUCGUAUUAGCAAUAUUAUUUGUUAUCUGGAAAUAGUUGAUGAACCAUUAAGUUCAAUUGAAAAAAAAAAAGUAGGAAGAAUUAAUAGUGGGUUUUACAAAUAUGUUUUCAAUUAAUCAUGAACAGAAACUCAACCAGUAAAAGAAGGAAUGAGUAGAGGAGACUGAUUGUGCCAAAUGAUCCUCCUACUCCAAGCUGCACUGGUUUGUGUGCGUACUCUUAUGAAUUGCAGACUUGCAGAGAGUUGUCCAGCUGCUCUGGCGUAUAUACGUACUUCAAGCUUCACUUACACCAUGUAUGGUAGAGAAUCCCACCACAAAGAAAGAUCACACAACACAAAAAAGGGAUCAUCAAUCAUGAUUGCUUAGAUGAUAGAGUGCCGUGUACAUCAUAAGAUAUAGUUUUCUUUUCGUCCUUUGUGCGGUUACAAACUUACGAGUUUUCGUACUCGAAUUUCAUGUAUUUAUUAAAUUUUCAAGACAAAAGUAGAGCCUUGUACACUGAAUUUGCAAUUAACAAGUCAUUAAGGUGAUCUUUAGACAUGCAGAGGUAAACUUAGCGUCGAAUUUAAGCUAUGUUUUAGCUCUUCAAAAAUUAGAUUUUGUAAAGAAUAGUUCAUGUCGUCUUCAUCUCCAACAUUGGAUGGCUAUAUUUCAAACCCCUUAAUAUAUGUUAUAUUGUAGUGCUAAGUAAAAAUUAUGAUACAACACAUUAUAGAAAUAUAAAUCAAUUUUAAGGAAAUAUGAGGGAGGCUUGUAGGCUAUGACUCACUAAUCAUGAUGCGGGAGCCAAGGCUUUAAAAAAUUAAAAAAAAAUUGAAAACUUCUCGUUGGCAUUGGAAAUUCAAAUAAUAAAGGCAUUGUAAUUUAUUUUAAUGACAUAGGAACUUGUUAAGUCAUUUCUAGAGAGUUUUUUAGGAAGUUGUGGUCUAUUUAUGCUUCUUUAUCUUUAGUUCCUUUAAAUAUUGAUGUAUUAGAAGCCAUUGCUAGACUUGAAUGAAUUAAAAUAUAUUUUGCUUUGUGCAAUUGAAGUGAGUGAUUUCUCCUUCCCCAAUCAAGCAUUUGGCUUGGUCAUCCAUGAUUAACGACGUGAGAUAGCUCCGUUGCCCCUGGUUGAGCGAAUCCCAGGUUAUCUAUUCCCUUCUCCUCGAUACCCUUGGUUCUGUCCUGCAUCAAAUGGCAUUAGAGCAGGUUUUCCGCUGCAGUUGAAAAUCAUGGCUAUGAUUAUCAAUCCGUUUCAAGAUCACAUCGUUGAAGAGAUUAGUUUCAUCGAUUGGAAUUCACCACCAAUUUAUGAUGAAUACGUUGAUGAAGACGAAGUCAAAAAUCAUUUUGUGAAUGAAGUUAAUGACAUCGAGCCUUCCAUGCAUCAAAUGGUAAUCUGUUACUGCUAUUCAUCUUUUGGAUGCUACAAGGAUCUUCAAAGUACUCCAAGCAUGAUGCAAAUGGAGAUGCUUCAGACCUACAAGGAAUGGAUGAUGGCAAGGUGCUACUGAUGUCCCAAAUGAAUUUUGAAAAGAAUUUCAGACAGUCUACAAUUUUUGUGACUUCAACAUGGAUGGAACAAGGCGAUGUCCCUCCUUCCUCAAGCCCAGCAAUGAUGCUUAAAGAGGCCACUCAUGUGAUAAGUUGCGGUUAUGAAGACAAAACUGAAUGGGGUUUAAAGAUAGGUUGGAUUUACAAAUUUAUCAUAGAGAGCAUUCUAAGGGGUUUCAAGAUGCAUUCUAGUGUGGUUGGAGGUCAUUUUCAAUCAAAAAGAAGGAACCAGGGCCUACAACGUUUGAAAGAAUGGGGAAAUGGUAUUUUCAUGAAUAUUUUGUGGCUUGGAACACUUUGAUCGCCGUGAACUUCAUUUUACUAUUGUGGUUGUUGUGGAAGAAUCUGCAAGGUCAUCCCAAAGAUCGAGGAAGACCAAAUGGAACUUGAGGACGAGUUUUCUUCGAGAAUGGGAGAAUGAUGCGGGAGCCAAGGCUUAAAAAAACAAAAAAAUAAACACAAAUUGAAAACUUCUCGUUGGCAUCGGAAAUUCAAAUAAUAAAGGCAUUGUAAUUUAUUUUAAUGACAUAGGAACUUGUUAAGUCAUUUUUAGAGAGUUUUUUAGGAAGUUGUGGUCUAUUUAUACUUCUUUAUCUUUAGUUCCUUUAAAUAUUGAUGUAUUAGAAGCCAUUGCUAGACUUGAAUGAAUUAAAAUAUAUUUUGCUUUGUGCAAUUGAAUUGAGUGAUUUCUCCUGCCCCAAUUAAGCAUUUGGCUUGGUCGUAUGAGUGAAUCCACGAUUAGCGACGUGAGCUAGCUUCGUUGCCCCUAGUUGACGAAUCUCAGGUUAUCUAUUCCCCUCUCCUCGAUACCCAUGGUUCUGUCCUGUAUCAAAUCAAGUGCGAGAUUUCUCCUCUAGAUCAUUGAUUAAGGAGUUCAUAUUUCUCUGAGCUUAUCAUUUAUAAGAAAGAGAUGUUGUAACAAAGUAUCCUAAAAUGAAAUCCUUGGUACCGAAAUGAUUAGUCACUUCUUCAUUCAGUACAGUUUUUUUUUCUUUUCUUUUUUUUUUUUUGCUUCAAAAGGGAUCAUGGCUUCGCCACGGUAAUCUACCUUUUUGAAGGCCAGAAAGACUCACAAAGGCAUUUCAGCCUCUCUGGCCCAUCGUGCUAUUCACAAGUGCAAGGAAUUGAACCCAAGAGAUACCGUGUGAAAUACAUAUCUUAAAUUUAUCCCCAACCACUAGACCACCCUGUGGUGGUAUCAUUCAGUAUAGUUAAUUUGAUAUUUAAUUGAUAUUUCCAACUCAUUUAGUUAUAUACUUUAGUUUAGAUUAAAUUUCCAAACCACGUAGUUCUUUUCCCAAUUGACUUGAUCUGGUCACGGAUUAGUAAUAGAACUUUGAAAUUAUUGAUAAUUAUGUGACAGAGAAAAUCCUUAAAACAGCCCGCCAGAAGAUAAGUGCUAGUUAAUAGAGGUAGGAGCAAACAUUCAUGAAAUGAAAUGUCAGGUUCAUCAGUCUUCUCCCCCACUAUAACUAAUUGAGCUGUAUGUUGAUUAAUUAAGAAGAAUCAAGUAGUUAGGCCCUUCCAUCAUCUUCACCUACUACUAUAAGUUCCAACAAUUAUAAUACUAAUCUAAUUGGGCCAACAGAAAAUUAAUGUAACACCUCAUUCACAACGUACCAUAACUAAUUUAAUGUGAUAUUCUGCAUCCAAUAGGAAGUUUUCAAAUUGAAAUCCAACUUGCUUUAUAUGUAUAGGGUGAAAACGUCAAACAUGUUUGGUGGGUUUUAAGUCAGAUUUGGGUAUUUUAAGUUGGGUUAGAAGGUUUAUUAGUUUUCAGCCAUUAGAUUAAUGCAACGGGCGCGUAGAGUGGUUAGUUUUCUAUUACAUUUUUAACUAGUUAGCGCUUGAACACUCUUGCAUAAUACGUAACAAAUAUAAUGUUUGGUUCAAUAUCGAGGUUGAGGAUGAGAAUUAUAAAUUUUCCAGUUUGAGAUAUAUGGUAUUCGAAUUAAAAGUUUUCUAUCAGAAUUAAAACCAGAUCAAGGAAACAAGAAUAUAGUUGAUAGCCAACUAGGUUAAGUUGGGCAGUUUUGUGUCUUAGAAGAAACGCCGACUCUCGUUCACAUCCAUAUUGAGUUAAGAAAUUAAAGUACAAAAUGCCUAUGAGUCGAACAAAGGAACGUUGAUCUUGGGAAAUUUACAACAGGACGAGAACCUGAAAUCAUCAUUUCAAAUGUGUAGGUUGUUAUAUAUGUGCAUCACAUGACCUCUAUGAUAGCAGUGUUUAUCUAGGAUGCGUGAGAGUGUGCAACGGGCUAGGGCAGCUUGACCAUGCCCAGUUUAAUGUCAACCUAGCACAACACAUCAUGAUUUUUUGAGGACUAGGGCAAGCAUGGGACACGCCAUGGCGUGAGACACGAUUUUCGUUGCACGUCUCUGACGCGGGCACGAGCUCAUUGUGAGCUGGACUCGUGCGAAACCCUACCUACCUCCAAACUACAUGCAACUAAAACGUAGUUUGAAUUAUAUGAUAUCCAAAAUAUCAGAUUUAUAGGUUUACCCUCCCUAUAGCUGGAUGACAUCCCGACUACGGGAGAGGCAAGAAUUCAUUCCAGGGAUUUCAAGUAAUUGACCGUGUCAAGGAAGAGUUGGAGAAUAUUUGCCCCGGUGUAGUGUCAUGUGUGGACAUUCUCGUGGUGGCUGCGAUAGACGCCGUUCUGAUAUUCACUCUUAAAAUAAUUAGUUCUCCGCUUCAACUUUAUUUUACUUUACUUUCCACACACCAUUUCUGGCUUCGUCACUGUUUGGACCUGAUUUUACACAUCGGCCUAAGCAAUCGAGGCCGUUGAGUAAGCAUGGUUCUCAACCGUUGGAUAAGAAAGUUUAGAUAUUAUUGUUAAGAGAUAAUAUUAUGAUUUUUAAUCAUAAUAAUUAUUUUUUUUAUAAGUUAUCCCGGUUUUUUAUGCAAAAUAAAUGGGAUGGAGGCAAGUAGAGUUGUGAUGGGGACGUGAGCUUUGAAUCAUGUUGGUUUGUUUUGCUGGACAUGCAUGCAUGGGAUGUAAAGAUAAUGAAGUGAUAGGGGAUAAAUCCAAACAUGCCAAAACGUGUAAUUUGCAAAAGAAUUGUGCAAUAUGGAGAUUCUAUCCUAAUGCAUGGUUUUUUGGGUUUGGUUUUGUGCACGUGGCAUGCGACAAUGGAGAUGAUGGUUUUGCAUGGUGAUGGCAAUAUGGGUUUAAAGGUUUCUCAUGUUUUUUUAAUAAGAAGCCUAGGUGGGUUAGAUCUCUAGUGAGAUGUGAUAAAGCCUAGGUAGGCUUUAUUUAUCUGAAGGAUAUGUGCGGCGUAUUUGAUACGGGAUCAGGGUCAAUUCCACAAAAUAGAGUUGCAGUUGGACUCUACAAAAUUAUUUGGCCGCGUCACACAACAUUUGCUCCUAUAAAUACAGAGAUAGUGGCAACGGAAGAAAGACCCCUGCAAAUCAAUACAAAAUUGCCCUGCGCAAAUUCUCACAACUUGUGAUUUUUCUUUUUCCUUUUUCGCUGACACAUCUUCCGUUGGCGUCAACAGCACUGUGGAAGCAACCGGUGAUAUCUUAAGUCGGCAUAGAUAGCUCUGUCACCGUAGAAUCAAUCGGUCUCGCAGUAUCUUCCGUUGGCAUCAACAGCACUGCGGCGAGAACGGUUAAUUACCUAUCCAAGUCUCGGUCGAGAAGGGUUUCUGAACCCUUAUUGGUCGAUGUCAUCUCAUCAGCCUUCUCGGCGAAGUGAGGUGUUACACGUUAUUACGUUCGGCAUAUUGAAAGCCGAAUUUGAUAUUGAACUUCGUAAGAAUAGUAACCUUGUCUUCAGGUUCGAGAGCCCAAGAGGCCGAGACGUGUUCCUUUCUCGGCCGCAAUCGCAAGACGCAGAAGUCAGCCGCGCACCCAACGCAACAUCAACAAAUUUACUCCUUGGCCGAGCUCGGCCGACGAGUUGGCACGCCCUGCAUUCACCGAAGGACGUAGUUAGCUCAUUAAUUAUUCGGCCUGCACGCCACGUAGGCUUUGUAGUUUUUAGGGUCAACAUUUUGGCACGCCCAGUGGGACCCAGUGCUAAACUACGAAGUUCACAUGAUCUAUCUCGAUCCGGCUUCAAGGGAUGAGUGUUAUCGCCUAUUAAAGGAGCAAAAACAACUUCUCGAAAGUUUGAGAAGAAUUUCUGAAAGGCAAAAGGCCGAGGGGCAAAUCUCCACUCCGGCCACAACCAAUAUUCGGCCUAAGAAAAGUGAUAAUUUGGCCGAAGAACAAAGGCCACUUGUUGUUUCGGUAGAGACUGAAAAUAUAGUAGGCCUAGAAGAAAAAAUUCAAGUCCCUAAGCUAUAUACAAAAAUUGACUUGGAAAAAGAUUCGUCAAAAGAAUGCUCUAGUGACGAACGAGGCCGAAAUAUUGGCCUAGCCCGAGAAACUACGCCAAUUGAUAUGAUUAUUGGCAAUAAAGCCGAUAUGGAGAAAUCCUGUUCGGCUAAGUUAUUUGAAUUAAAAGCCGAAAUUAUGCUUGGGGGGCUGUUUGGACUCAAAUUUACACCAUCGGCCCAUGUAAUCAAGGCCGUUGAGUGAGCAUAGUUCUCGACCGUCAGAUGGAAAAGUGAAGAUAUUUUUGUUAAAGGAUAAUAUUAUGAUUUUUUAUCAUAAUAAUUAUUUUUUAAUGAUGAAUUAUCUUGAUUUUUUCCUGGUACAAGAUGGAUGAGAUGUAAAUGUAGUUCAAUUUGAUUUGGGAUUCUUGGAGUUAAGACGCGUGGUGGAUUGGGAGCAUCAGAGCACGUUAUUAAGAGUCCUAAUACACUACUGCAUUGUUGGCAAAUGGAAAUUGGCAGAGAUAUUAAUGCUUGCAUAAAGAUGAAGAUGUUAAAUUGGAGAUGGAUAGCCACGUGUGAGUGGAUUUGGUGGAGCCAUGCAUGCAUAUCAUUAUUUCAAGUCAAGAUGCUUAUCGGCACUAAUUGGUAUAUGCUAAUAUGCUAUUAAUUAGCAAGAGGUGGUUGCAUGUUGGUAAGUGAUAACAAUCUUUUUGCAUGAGAUUGUUAUGAAUGAGGACUUUGAUGUUGGCGGCAGCUUUACAACACGAGCCGUCAGGAUGAGGAUGAUACUUAUAAAUACAGAGUCGCAAACAACGGGUAGGACCCCUGCAAAUCAAUACAAAAUUGCCCUGCGCAAAUUCUCACAACUUGUGAUUUUUCUUUUUUCCUUUUUUCGCUGACACAUCUUCCGUUGGCAUCAACAGCACUGUGGAAGCAACCGGUGAUAUCUUAAGUCGGCAUAGAUAGCUCUGUCACCGUAGAAUCAGUCGGUCUCGCAGUAUCUUCCGUUGGCAUCAACAGCACUGCGGCGAGAACGAUUGAUUAUCUAUCCAAGUCUCGAUCGAGAAGGAUUUCUGAAUCCUUGUUGGUCGAGGUCAUCUCAUCAGCCUUCUCGGCGAAGUGAGGUGUUACAAGUGACUACAUUCGGCACGUUGAAAGCCGAAUUUGAUAUUGAGCUUCGUAAAAAUGGUAACCUUGUCUUCAGGUUCGAGAGCCCAAGAGGCCGAGACGUGUUCCUUUCUCGGCCGCAAUCGCAAGACGCAGAAGUCAGUAGCGCGACCCAACGCAACAUCAACAAAUUUACUCCUCGGCCGAGCGCGGCCGACGAGUUGGCACGCCCUGCAUUCACCGAAGGACGUAGUUAGCUCAUUAAUUACUCGGCCUGCGCGCCACGUAGGCUUGGUAGUUUCUAGGGUCAACAUUUUGGCACGCCCAGUGGGACCCAGUGCUAAUACUACGAAGUUCAUAUGUUAUAUCAAGAUUCCAAUCUGGCUCAACGUAGCUGAUUGUACGAGCUCCUGGAGGAAUUGAAAAAACAUAAUGAGGAAUGCAAAAAAUCUUUGGAAGCAGAAAAAGUUCUUCGUGGCCAUAAAGAGAUGCAAAAGUCAUUCGCUUGCAUGGUGAAAAUAAAAGCUCCUGUUACCCUGCAUGGGUAAAUGAAGACAGGGCUCGAUUUAAUGCCUGGCUAGAUGAAGAACGUUUUCCUUACGUUUCUGAUUACAGAUCAAUUCCAUUUGAAAAAUGGUUAGGUCCAAAGGCCGGGGGGCAAUUUUUCGCUCCGGCCACAAUCAAAAUUCGGCCUCAAAAAAUUGUUAAGGCGGCCGAAGAAAUACUUAGGCCACCUGUUGUUUCGGUCGAGAUUCAAAGUGUGGUAGGCCUAGACGAAAAAGUUGAAGUUUCUGAGCUAAAAAUCGACUCAGAAAAUGAUUCGUCAGAAGAGUGCUCCAAUGACGAACAAGACCAAUACACGACUUCAAACCAUAAAAUCACAUCGAUUGAUAUGGUAAUUGAAGACAUAGGUCUAGCCGAAAAAAUCACGCCAAUUGAUCUGAUUAUUGGUGAUAAAGCCGAUAUGGAGAAAUCCCGUUCGGCUAAGUUGCUCGAGUUAAAAGCCGAAAUUGGUGAAAUAAUUAUGCCCAGGGGGCAUAAUACUUGUUCCACACAUUCGGCGGCUGAAAAUGCAAAAUAUUUUGCCGAGUCAAAAAUAUUUGGGAAAAAUUCUUUAUUCGGCCUAGAGCGAAAUCAAUUUGAAAAUUUUGAUGCAAAAAGAUCUUGGCUUGGAAUAAAACAUCGUUGGUCUCCUCCUGAUUAUGGUUCGGCCACUUUUAUUUUCGUUUGCUAAAAUAUUAAAUAAAUUAUUUUCUUAACUAUUCGGCUUUUUAGGCCGAUGCAUAAACAUAAAAAGGGGGUAGUAUUGUUUUGACCGAUUUGUGUUCGGAUUUAAGAUUUAUUCGGCAUAUAACAUAUCAUGCAGAAAUUAAUCAUGGCAUGAACUGUUCUAGCACGAAGUGUUACAAUUUGGCGUCAAAGCAGGAGUUGAAUCAUGGCAUCUGCAAUUAGAGUCUCGGCCAAAAGAGUGGUUGCCGAGCCAUUCAAUGCACCUGGGAUUGGUUUGGCCGAAUAUAUAUAUAUAAGAGUUUAGCCGAACUCUCGACUACCUUACAAAAGCCUCGGCCAAAGCUGCAUAUAUAUGAUUCGGCCAAAACUGUAUAUAUAUAUAUAUAUAUAUAUAGGAAUUGCUUAAGGGGAGGGAUCCCCAUUUUUUCAAAAAAAUGGGGACACACUCCCCACCGUUGGAUUUGAAUUAAAUGAAAUCCUGUGGUUGAGAUUCUAUGGCCUGUGUUUUAAUCUCAACCACACAAUUUCAUUAAAGUCAAUCUAACGGUGGGGAGCGUGUCCCCAUUUUUUUUGAAAAAAUGGGGAUCCCUCCCCUUAAGCUCCCUGUAUAUAUAUAUAUAUAUAUAUAUAUAUAAAGAAAAUGGGGAUUCUCGGCCACAACUAUAUAUAUAUAUAUAUAUAUAUAUAUAUUGGGGGGGUUGUUUUUAAUGAGGGCAUUAGAGACUCGGUGGACGUCAAAUCUUGGUCAAAUGAGUGGGUCUGAGUUUCAAUGGCCAUGUGGGGUCGAGGGUUCAUGAUUUAUCUUGGUCAUGAUAGAUGAGUGAUAUUCAAUUGGAGGAAUUCAGCACAGUAUUUUGCCGAAUAAGUUUUUAUUCGGCGGUGGUUUCUCCAAUAAUUCUCGGCCAUAUGUUUUUCUCGGUCACUCGGAGGUAGUCAGUCAUCGGUAUUAUUAUUGGUAAAUCAGUAUUAUUGGAUGAUCAGACUUGGUGCAUACAGCUGAGCUAUCAGGGAUAAGGCCGAGUAAUCAACCGAGCUACCAAGAAUUAGUCAUUGCUGAGCCUUGCAUAUAGAAUGAUGGCUACGAACAAUUAAUUUCCUUAAAUAUUCGGCUUAUGAGCCGAAGUUCAAGGAAAUUGGGGGGCAAUGUUUGGACUCAAAUUUACACCAUCGGCCCAUGUAAUCAAGGCCGUUGAGUGAGCAUAGUUCUCGACCGUCAGAUGGAAAAGUGAAGAUAUUUUUGUUAAAGGAUAAUAUUAUGAUUUUUUAUCAUAAUAAUUAUUUUUUAAUGAUGAAUUAUCUUGAUUUUUUCCUGGUACAAGAUGGAUGAGAUGUAAAUGUAGUUCAAUUUGAUUUGGGAUUCUUGGAGUUAAGACGCGUGGUGGAUUGGGAGCAUCAGAGCACGUUAUUAAGAGUCCUAAUACACUACUGCAUUGUUGGCAAAUGGAAAUUGGCAGAGAUAUUAAUGCUUGCAUAAAGAUGAAGAUGUUAAAUUGGAGAUGGAUAGCCACGUGUGAGUGGAUUUGGUGGAGCCAUGCAUGCAUAUCAUUAUUUCAAGUCAAGAUGCUUAUCGGCACUAAUUGGUAUAUGCUAAUAUGCUAUUAAUUAGCAAGAGGUGGUUACAUGUUGGUAAGUGAUAACAAUCUUUUUGCAUGAGAUUGUUAUGAAUGAGGACUUUGAUGUUGGCGGCAGCUUUACAACACGAGCCGUCAGGAUGAGGAUGAUACUUAUAAAUACAGAGUCGCAAACAACGGGUAGGACCCCUGCAAAUCAAUACAAAAUUGCCCUGCGCAAAUUCUCACAACUUGUGAUUUUUCUUUUUUCCUUUUUUCGCUGACACAUCUUCCGUUGGCAUCAACAACAGCACUGUGGAAGCAACCGGUGAUAUCUUAAGUCGGCAUAGAUAGCUCUGUCACCGUAGAAUCAGUCGGUCUCGCAGUAUCUUCCGUUGGCAUCAACAGCACUGCGGCGAGAACGAUUGAUUAUCUAUCCAAGUCUCGGUCGAGAAGGAUUUCUGAAUCCUUGUUGGUCGAGGUCAUCUCAUCAGCCUUCUCGGCGAAGUGAGGUGUUACAAGUGACUACAUUCGGCACGUUGAAAGCCGAAUUUGAUAUUGAGCUUCGUAAAAAUAGUAACCUUGUCUUCAGGUUCGAGAGCCCAAGAGGCCGAGAUGUGUUCCUUUCUCGGCCGCAAUCGCAAGACGCAGAAGUCAGUAGCGCGACCCAACGCAACAUCAACAAAUUUACUCCUCGGCCGAGCGCGGCCGACGAGUUGGCACGCCCCGCAUUCACCGAAGGACGUAGUUAGCUCAUUAAUUACUCGGCCUGCGCGCCACGUAGGCUUGGUAGUUUCUAGGGUCAACAGGGGCAUAAUAAUUGUUCAGCGCAUUCGGCAGCUGAUAAAAAAUCUUUCGUCAAGUCAAACAUAUUUGGAGAUAGUAUUUUAUUCGGCCUUGCAAAAAUUCAAAGUGAAAGUUUUGAUACAAAAAGCCUUCGGCUUGGAAUAAAACAUCGUUGGCCUCCUCCAUUUAUAGUAGGGCCACUUUUGUUUUCUUUUGCUACAAAAUAAGAAUAAAUUAUUUUCUUAACCAUUCGGCUUUUUAGGCCGAUGCUUAAGAAAAUAAAGGGGGCAAUAAGAUGGUGCGGACUUAGAAAAACAAGAAAAAACAAGAUGGUGUACUCGGCAGACAAUUUUGGUCAAAUAAUGGUGUAUUUGGCAGACAGUUUUGGUCGAAUGAAUUUGCGAGAGCAUGCAUGACAAUUGUUCGGCAGACAGUUUUGGUCAAAUGAAUUUAUGGGAGCAUGCAUGGUUGCGAAGCUUGCUCAAUUCAGUUUCGAUGUGCGGUUUAAUAUAUAUAUAUAUAUAUAUAUAUAUAUAUAUAUAUAUAUAUAUAUAUGUCAGAAUGACCCAUCACAUGAAACAGAAAGAGAGACGCAUACGGAAAAGACAAAGGAAUAUUCAUGAAGUUAUGGUAGGCUUCCAUAUGGGCUAACAUUUUCGUUUGGUGAUGUAGUGAUCUGUGAAUUCCUAACAGCAUUAUUUGGCCGAAUACAAAUCUUUGGCCGAAUAAAACAUAGUUCGGCCGAAUAGAAUGGGUUAUAUAUAUAUAUAUAGGCUCUACAGCCAGUUCUUCUCGGUCUCGGCCCCAUUUACUCUCGAUCCCAGUAUUUUUGACCGAUACUAGUGUUUUCUCGACCCCGACAGUUGAGAGUUGGAGUAGUUCACGACACUGGCAGAGGGAGGUUAUGACAUUGGCAGAACAUAGGUGAUUUUAAUACCGAGAGACAAAAUUUGUUUCGGCAAUACGACGAAGUGUUGUUGGCUACGAGCAAUUAAUUUCCUUAACCAUUCGGCUUACGAGCCAAAGCUCACGGAAACUGGGGGGCAAUGUUUGGACCUGAUUUUACACAUCGGCCUAAGCAAUCGAGGCCGUUGAGUAAGCAUGGUUCUCAACCGUUGGAUAAGAAAGUUUAGAUAUUAUUGUUAAGAGAUAAUAUUAUGAUUUUUAAUCAUAAUAAUUAUUUUUUUUAUAAGUUAUCCCGGUUUUUUAUGCAAAAUAAAUGGGAUGGAGGCAAGUAGAGUUGUGAUGGGGACGUGAGCUUUGAAUCAGGUUGGUUUGUUUUGCUGGACAUGCAUACAUGGGAUGUAAAGAUAAUGAAGUGAUAGGGGAUAAAUCCAAACAUGCCAAAACGUGUAAUUUGCAAAAGAAUUGUGCAAUAUGGAGAUUCUAUCCUAAUGCAUGGUUUUUUGGGUUUGGUUUUGUGCACGUGGCAUGUGACAAUGGAGAUGAUGGUUUUGCAUGGUGAUGGCAAUAUGGGUUUAAAGGUUUCUCAUGUUUUUUUAAUAAGAAGCCUAGGUGGGUUAGAUCUCUAGUGAGAUGUGAUAAAGCCUAGGUGGGUUAGAUCUCUAGUGAGAUGUGAUAAAGCCUAGGUAGGCUUUAUUUAUCUGAAGGAUAUGUGCGGCGUAUUUGAUACGGUAUCAGGGUUUAUCUGAAGGAUAUGCGCGGCAUAUUUGAUACGGGAUCAAGGUCAAUUCCACAAAAUAGAGUUGCAGUUGGACUCUACAAAAUUAUUUGGCCGCGUCACACAACAUUUGCUCCUAUAAAUACAAAGGUAGUGGCAACGGAAGAAAGACCCCUGCAAAUCAAUACAAAAUUGCCCUGCGCAAAUUCUCACAACUUGUGAUUUUUCUUUUUCCUUUUUCGCUGACACAUCUUCCGUUGGCGUCAACAGCACCGUGGAAGCAACCGGUGAUAUCUUAAGUCGGCAUAGAUAGCUCUGUCACCGUAGAAUCAAUCGGUCUCGCAGUAUCUUCCGUUAGCAUCAACAUCACUGCGGCGAGAACGGUUGAUUACCUAUCCAAGUCUCGGUCGAGAAGGGUUUCUGAACCCUUAUUGGUCGAGGUCAUCUCAUCAGCCUUCUCGGCGAAGUGAGGUGUUACACGUUAUUACGUUCGGCAUAUUGAAAGCCGAAUUUGAUAUUGAACUUCGUAAGAAUAGUAACCUUGUCUUCAGGUUCGAGAGCCCAAGAGGCCGAGACGUGUUCCUUUCUCGGCCGCAAUCGCAAGAUGCAGAAGUCAGCCGCGCACCCAACGCAACAUCAACAAAUUUACUCCUCGGUCGACGAGUUGGCACGCCCCGCAUUCACCGAAGGACGUAGUUAGCUCAUUAAUUAUUCGGCCUGCGCGCCACGUAGGCUUUGUAGUUUUUAGGGUCAACAGUCACAUUUCAGGUGUCGGCUAACACUACUUAUUUUCGGUGUCCACUUGAAUAUAUGGGUCAGGGUGUGUCAUAAUGAACGCAGGCGAGCAUGGAUUCGCAACGGGGGUUCAAAAUCAAGUAGAUCCGAAUUGAAUCUCACAAAAACCCGACUGGAUUAUCAUCGGGAAGACUGUAGGCUCUCGAGGAUGGGUGGUUUCACCAGAAAAUGGUCAAACAAGGCCGGGGACAGGGACGACGCAAAAAUGGCAUCAUUUGGUCCUAGGGUUUCAGAAUAAGAGCAGCUAGGCUCCUUGUGGCUUGCGACGCAGCUUGGCGACUCGGCUUACACGCUUCAGGUCGUGGCUCGCGCGGGAGGUUGCAGCAACCCUAAUUUUCUUCUUUCUUUCUGUUCUCACACAAUCAUUAAUUCACCACAACAACAUAUAAGCAAAAUAAUAUUAUAAUUCGAAAAGCAUAAAAUUGGGUUCAUGCACUAUGUUGAAGAUUUCAUGCAAUUAGAGCUGGAAAAAAAAUCAAAAUUGAAACCGUAUUUUAGAAGUUACUUAGAUUGUAUGAUCAAAAUUUUGAGCUGUUUUGUAGCAGAAAAUAGCCUCUAGAUUCAUAGCGCAACGUCUAGAGUGUGCUGAUAACAUUUUGUUUCAUAUUUUACUAAAAGAAAGGGAAAUGGUGUGGUGAUAGUGGUGGAGAAAAAGACUCGGAAAAAUUGGUGUAUGUUCCCUUGUGCCAAUGCCUUUAUUUAUAGUAAACAGAAAGAAGAAGCAAACUUGCUCACCAAAAACACAUAGUCUAAUAGAAAAAAAAAAUCAUCUAAAUUACAUAGAAAUCCUAAUUCAAAUCUACCAAAAUUUACCGAAUUAUACUACAUCAAUAUUAAAUGUAACAAUAUUGACUAUGAUCCUACAGUUUUAUUUGCCAGUGUAUGUCUUUUAGCUAGCUUUAUAAUAACUUAUCAAUUUGAAUUUUUUGUCCCAACAAGUAAGCUAAUAUAUAUUAAAAAAUUAGUAUGUGUACACACACAAGAGAGCCAUAUAGUCUUUGGUCUUAUUGUCUCAAAAGUCAGAAGAGAAGACCCGAAGAACGAGCACUCCUCCAUAGUCCACAUUUCUCUACGGUCAUAUUCGGCGGACAAAAUUCUAUGCUCCAACGUCUUCGCUCUCCUUUUUUUUUUUUUUUUUUUUUUUUUUUUUUUUUUUUUUUUUUUUUUUUUUUUUUUUUUUUUUUUUUUUUUUUUUUUUUUUUUUUUUUAGCAAAUGAUAUUAUUUAUAUUAAAUGAUUGAGAUAACAUGUCAAAUUUCACACGUAACUAGCUAUAAUAAUGUUAUUUAAAUUCAUCUUUGACGAGAAUUGAAACUAAGACCUUACUUAUAAGUGAAAAUUAAUAUCAUUAACUCGUAGUACUAAAUAACACUUUAAUCUUUAAAAUUUACAAUCAAACUAGAUUUUUUUUCUCCUUUCUAUAUCCCGUGUUCCAAUUUCCACAUCCACACUUACAAAGUCGUACACGAUGACAUAGCACCAUACCCAUAUAUGGCAUUUGAUGUUUCUAGUCCUCGACUAACAUGAAACGUACAGUCGAUUCUUUCCCUUAGUCCCACUAGUCACAUGUGAUUCCUAUUCUUUUAUAAACAACUUUUUUUUAUUUAUUUUUUUUCAGCCAAAGAAGUUAAUUAAAAUUUUCAAACUGAAAAAUUAUUUAAUCAAUUACAAUAGCAUAAUAUUCAAACUGGAAUUUUUUUUUUUUUAGAGAAUGAUUUUCUACUCAAGAGGUGUGGGGAUUGAACCAUGCCACAUAAGGGGUUAGCUCUUAACUAAAUAUCAAACUCAACUCGAAUAUAAUACAUCAUCGCGAUCCAUAUGAGCAAAACCUGAGACGACUCACUUGAAAAUAGAGAUAAUUAUCACUAAAUCAUAGUACUAGCUGGUCACUUUAAUACAGUACUCACACUUGUAGGCUUUGGCUACACUAGCAUCAAUUAACUCUUGAUAUAACGUAAUUUUACUUCUUAAUAUUAUUCCCAAUUGAUUAACAAAACUACUAUAACAAAAACAAAUAAUAUAACUAAAAUAUGGACUUACGAAAAAUAAAAGAAAAUGAUUUUCGUACAAUUUUCCUCACUCUACGCAUCUCUAUUUAUUUUAAUCUAUCGAUUCUCAUUUAUUUCAUUUAAUUCAAAUACUAGAAAUAAAGUGGCAUUAAGACUAAGAAGGUACAAAUCCCAUCAGCUCAUGGGCAUUAGUGGAAUUUCGCCCUUCUUUAACUGCAUUGUCCCUCCAUAUGCAAGUUAAUUUCACGCGGAUACAAACCCAAUACUUAACUAAGCAACAACAGGCCCACAUUUGACCAACAACUAAUUUAGUCGUAUUUACAUACACACCCCUGUCCCACCACCACCAAGUCAAAACGACGACGUCACCUUCGUCCUCAAAAACUCCUCCAACCUCCACUUCCUUCCAAAACACAACAAACUCAAACCUCUCCGUCUGAGAAACUCUGGAGCACCAAACAAUCAACUCGCCACUAAAAAUGGGGAGGGAGCGGGACCAUCUCUACAUCACCGUUCCCAACCUCUUCCGCUGCCCCAUCUCCAUGGACGUCAUGCGCUCCCCCGUCAGCCUCUGCACCGGCGUCACCUACGACCGCGCCAGCAUCCAGCACUGGCUCGAAUCCGGCCACGACACCUGCCCCGCCACCAUGCAGAUCCUCCAGUCCAAAGACGUCAUCCCCAACCUCACCCUCCGCCGUCUCAUCAACCUCUGGGCCCAGUCCCACGGCCCUUCCUCGCCGGCCUCCUCUCCCUCUCUCUCCUCCCAGCACCUCGCCUCCCUCGUUCAAUUUCUCCGCAAUGAGAACGAGACUGAGAAAUUCAGCCAAAAUAUCGUAAACUCAUUGUCGAAGACUGCCGAUUUCGCGAGGGUCGGCGAGGAGAACCGGAGGUUUGUGGCGAAUUUCGACGGCUUCGUCUCCGCCAUUGUGGGGAUUCUGAACAGAGAAGGCGUCGAAAUCGAAGUUCUCGAAUCGGUAAUUAAGGUUUUGGAUUCGAUUUUGCCUCAAAGCGGAGUCAACGAGCAAUUGAGCCGAUUUAUUGCGAAGAGCAACGGCAAUUACCUCGCUUCAAUUCGAUUGGUACUGCAGAAAGGAAGCCUGAGCUCGAAGAUCGAAUCCGUCAAGGUUUUGGAUUCGAUCGCGCUCGACGCCGAGUCGAAACGAUUAAUCGCGGAGAAGGAAGGCUUAUUGUCCGUAUUCAACGAUCUGUUGAGCUUGGAAACGUGUCAGGACCUAUACGGCGCCGUUUUCUCAUGCUUAGCAUCAUUGUCCGUGAAUCGGUCGAUUAAAGCCGAGCUCGUCCGGUUCGGACUAGUCCGAGUUGUAACGUCAACGCUGCUAAAGCCGGACACUAGCACUACCCUUGCGGAGAAGUGUUUGAAGCUGUUAUCCACCAUUGCCACGUGCGCCGAGGGCCGGUCGGCGAUCAGCGGGGAGGAGAAGUGCGCGGAGGCGGUGGCGGAGAGGCUGAUGAAGGUGUCGAGGGGGGCGACGGAGGACGGCGUGGCGGUGCUGUGGAGCGUGUGCUGCAUGUUGGGGGACAAGAGGGCGAGGGAGAGCGUGGCGGGAGGAAAUGUGGUGGCGAAGGUGUUGUUGGUGAUGCAGAGUGGGUAUGGAGAGGGGCAUUUUGUGAGGAGGAUGUGUGGGGAUUUGGUCAAAGUUUUGAGUGUUGGGUUAGGGUUGGGGUUGAGGUAUGACACCAAGACUAUACAUAUCAUGCCUUGUUAGAAAUUGUUCAUGAUGAUAAUCUUGCUCAUUUAUUUUUUUUUUGGAAAUUGUGAAUUUGGAUAAAAAAUUUUAUAGAAACAAAAAGGAAAAUUCUUUUUAGUUUUGUAGUCAUUGAUCAUCAUUAUGUGAUUGAUGUUGUAUGAUUAGUAGAGAUAUUUUUGUGUGCUGUGAACAUGACCCGGUAUAUUAAGAAUAGUAUUACAAUUCGUUGGAAACUUUAAAAAAAAAAUUCCAAGAAAUUGUAUGUGCUGUGUUUCCGGAAAAAUUUCUUGGGUUUGUGGGGAUGUGAAUAUGCAAAAUUAUGUUGAUAAGAUGGCUUAAGUGAUUAAAAGAAUGAAGAAAUAAACAACUUUUUGUUAAUCUCAUGUUAAUCUUCUUUUUUGAUUUGUUGUUUCUUUUAUUGUUAAUUCAGAAAAGUUUCAUGAUGAAUUUGUUUGGACUUUGAAAAAGGAUUAGGGACAAGAAUCCAAUCCAUCGUAAAAGGGGCAAGUUUUGAUAUGAUUUGCAAGUUAUAACUUGUUAAGUAAGAGAACGUAAGGAGAUCUAUUGUAUACUUGGGUAAAUUUAAUUGGUCUUAAGUUCAAAUUUAUUUCUAAGUAAUUUUGGAGUAAUUGUGAUCAAAUAGUUGUAUGCUUUUUUUUAGAGUGGACUUACAAGUCACAGUUGUAUUGCCUCAACUACGUUUUAUACCAAUAAUACAAUACCAUGCAGAGAAAUUUACACAUAAUGUUGUAUAUUUGGCAUGAGACUAUCUUAGUGAAAAUGUAUCCAUGCCAUAGAAGUCGUCCUCUCUUUUGUGGGUGAGGUAGUUCUGGGCAAUGAACCUGUAUGAAAAAAUAUGAGUUGUUGAGCUAUGCACGAGUGUCAAACGUAACAUGGCUUAUUUUCGUAUCCCUGGUAAACAAACUACAAAAUCGUUGCUCUUAGAACAGUAUGUGUUUAAUUUCAAAAACGAGACAAAAAUGAUUGUAAAGAAAAAACACUAAAUAAGGAGACAAAUUCAGGCUAGUUUGCGUUCGAAUUUUACAGGGUAAGGCAACAACUUGGCUGUAGUAGGCAUCUGGUUUGCAAAAAUCCAGCAGAAAACAAUUGUAUGGACAACAAAUUGCGAUGCUCCGAUGCGACUCUCUAACAAUGUAAAGCUGUUUUGAAGUGGUGAAGGAACAAGGGUCAUGGCGCCAGAUAACCGAGUUGUAUCAGCAACCAUUUUUAUGAGCCUGCUGCCUCGGCUUCCAUGCUCGAUUCUGGUAACUUUGUCAUCUACAACUCGGACUCAAAUAUCAUUUGGCAGAGUUUUGAUACUCCAACCGAUACCAUUGUAUCUGGCCAGCGAUUGCUGGCUAGAAAGAAGCUUGUCUCCAGCAUCUCCGACACAAAUCAUGCAAGCGGAAGAUUUAGACCUUCAAUGUAGCGUGAUGGGAACCUAGAGAUGUACCUGGAGUGUCCAAUUAUAUUACAACCUGAUUGAUCGGUAUGCUUACUCAAAUAGUGGGACGUACAGGGCUGGAGACAAUGAGUCACUCAACGUUGAUCACAAUGGACAGUUAUAUCUCCUCAGUUACAAUAUAAGGAACGCUACGAAUCAGAAAGAGCUGUUUGACACACACACGUAUGUACCACAUGAUGAUUGACUUUGAUUGUAUUACUCCAGUUAUACUUCCAUACUAUUUAUAUUUAAUUUUAAAUUUUAAAUGAUUUUUAACCGCACGAUAUACAUGAACGGACAUAAUUAUGGGAUCCUCCAAAUUCCUGAGAAAAGGACGUCGAACAAGAAUCUUUGGUUGCUCCAUUGUCUCAUUUGACGGACUGAAAUAACGGAGCUAACAAACUGUAAGUACAAAGGACGAAAGUGAAAAGAAAAAGGCUAAAGGGAGGUAAGUGAUAAUUCGAUUUAAACUAACGGGACCAUGAGUGCAAUCUGACUCGCUCCUUAACUUGGAAAAGCCAACCAGGGCGUUCCAAGUGUGAUGAUGAACACGUGCCGAAACACCAUUGGAUUCUGGAGGGGAACCAGUGAGGCCUCCCGCAGCAAAGCCACACAAAAUGAUACACAAGCGAUCUGAGUCGUCGGCGAGGAUCCUUUUCCGUGAAAAAUCGAUCGAAGAAGCAAAGGCAGGUCACUGAAUAAAGAAAUAAAAACACAGAAGCUGAAGCUGUUGCGGGAAAAAGCUUGACCAAAUCAGGGUUCCCGAAUUCGAAUCGCCAACGAGGUUAACCAGAUUAGGGUUUUAACAAAAUUUUUAAGUUACUUUUACCAUGUUGUAAUUGCUUAAUUUUUUUUGCUGAAAUUCAGAAAUUUGCAGGAAAACUGAAAUGGGGGACGGCCUAUGGAACCGCCAGCAGCAGCAGCAGCAGCAGCAUCAACUGGGUCCCUCUGGCGGCGUGCAUAAACGACCUCGUUCCGACUACGGUAACUCCUCUGUGGCCAUUUCUCAUAGUUUUUUUCUUUAAUUAGAUGAAAUUGCGAUUGCAUUCGUUUGCAUUAUAGAUUUAGUUGUCAAACCAUUUAAUUUCUGACUUCUUGUUUAUAAUUCGAGCGAUAUUAUAAUCUAAUCGAAACUAUGGGGAGAGGGGGAUUCGAACUUGGGUGCAGAUGGGGAGCACACUGCUCGAGCCAACUUAGCUAGGCCAAAGUCUGCUUCUUCGUGUUAUAAGUGUUUUUACUUUAGUGGUUCUUGAUGGGUUUCGGGUUUCAAUGUAAAUUAUGUUUCAAAGUGGUGAAAUUUAUGUGAAGGGUCAAGGGUAUCUAGACAAAGGAUUCCAGUUCAGUUGUCUGAUGACUCUGCUUGUAUGUAUCUCCCCUUACUCUAGUAGAUAUGCAGAUUCUGGUUUUGUAGCUAGGUGUCUCUUUUCUUUUCUUUUAUAAAAAUUACAAUAAAUGUUUUGCUUCCAUAGUUCCAUGUGUACUCUUACAUCUUCGGGGUCUUCUUGAAGCAUAUAAUAUAGUCUUAGCCUAUCUGUUCCACUUACUACAAUUGCGAUCAACACUCAUACUCGUAUGAUUCCAUAUAAUAAUGUAUCUUCCACGAAAGCUUUACUAAGCAUAUGAUUUCUGUUAUUAUUUUCUUUGUAACCAGAUCACAGUUUUUGGCCUUCAUGUUUCCUUCGGUCCAUUGUUAAUGAUAUUAUUUACUGGAUUUCAUAUUUAGAGCAACUUUUGAAUGAUUUCCACAUUAGCGGUAGUUUUAGAAGUUACUGGUUGUUAUUAAGUUAUGUUCAAGGGGGGAAAACCUUGUUCGGUGUGUUUGCUAAGACCUGUGUGAAAAUGGAAACUACUACAAAAUCAUUCAGGUUUCCAAUUACAUUGCAAGGUACUUAAGAAUGGAUCUUUUCCUGAACCCAACCAAACCCCAAACCUCUGAAAUUAUCAAGUAGAUUCUUUCCUUUUAGUGCGGUCAGUCUUCCAAUCUAAUACUAUUCUUCAAUAAUUAUGGUAAUAAGAUCCUCCAUACAUAUUUAUAAUGCAAUUAUGUUUAUAUACAAAUUGAUGCAUAUUAUUGGUAUACAUUUUGAUAUAACCAAAUUCCCCUUUUUUUUCAUUUAGUUAUUUGUUUGCUGAGUUGUUCUUGUUAUAACUUCUUAGUCACUGAUCAAAAGCCUAGACUUGUAUAUUGUAUGUAGAUGUUUUGAUUGGUAUGUUUUCUUUGUACUUUUGAACAUUGGUGGCAGUUUUACUUGUUCAAAUACCACCUAGUUGUUAGUAGUGAUAUUGUUCAUUCCGCACCUUGGGUCUAACUCUGCACAUUAAAGAGUAGGUUUUUACCUUGUUAAUUGACGGGGCAUACUCUACUUCCACCUCAUGCUUCUCAAUUGGUUUCUUGAUUUAAGUUCUUCCAUCUGCUUUUUUAUUUUUUAUGCCUUUUCUCUUGUUCUAUAGUUGUAAUAUAUACAGCUGAAUUAGGGUCUAUUUGUUAAUGUUUUCUCAAUGUUGUGCCUUUAAAUAUAGGUAAAUUAUGCGCUUGGUGCAUUAAGUUUGUUAAACAUGGGAAACAUAUUCUGUAAAAUGAUCUCAACUUUUGUUCUUCAAGUUAGGAAACAACCAUUCCACUAUUUAUGUUGUUUUCAGGGGGAUUGUGAAACAUGGUGAGUAGUUAGAAACAAAAAAAGGAACCUUUCAACUGGAAUAAAUGUUUCUGUCAUCCUCAGAGGCUCUGUUGUUGGUCCUCACUUUUCACGUAUAUCUGCUCUCAAAAACCUAUACCAAAAAACCAAACACCCUAUCGCCUCUCUCUUCCUUUCUUUCUCCAUCUCUCUUUGCCUCCUCAUCUCUCCCACUUUCUCUCUACACCCUCAAAACCUGCACUCCAGCCCCACUCCGAACGCCUGACCCAUUCAUCGAAACCAAUAUGUGGAACCUCUUCUCAACCUCCCCCGCCCCCGCCCCCGCAAUGUUGUCGUCUCGUCUCUGAUUUGAAAACAUUUGGUUGUGGGUUGUUUUCAAUAUAAUAAGUUGGACGUGAAUAAUUGUUAGUGAUAAAUUUGGAUGGUAGAGUUUGGUAUUAUUUCAAUUUAAACUGGAGUGGUCAAGAAUUUGGUAGAACUUGUAAAAUGGAGAAACUGAAGAUGGUGAAUCAGACUUGGUUUCAGUUUAAACGGGGAUAGUUAUACCGUACUUGUAUGGGAUAUAGAGCGAUGUUGGAUGCAGCUUUAUUUUAUUGUAUCGGUUUUGUUUUGGUGUCGGAAUGGUUAUACUGUACUUGUAUCUGUUUCUUUAUCUCGUUUUGGUGUUGCUUUAUUUUUUUAUUGCUUUUAAAUCUGAAAUGGUUAUACUGCACGUGUAUUGGAUAUAGGUCUGAUGUUGGAUGUUUAUUGAUAUGAAUGUUCCAUUUAAUAGGGCUCUAACUCACAAUGGUUUUGGUUAGCUUUGAUGCGGGCAUGGGAUAAAUCAAUUUCACUAUUGUGCCGUUUAAAAGGGCUCUUAACUCACAAUGUUUUAAUAUAUUUGUUUGGUUCAUUGAUACGUCUUGUCAAAAUGUGUUUACAUUAGUUACGUGUUUGAACUUUGAUUAUAAUAUUUAGUUGAAAAUAGUUUUUCAAAAUAUUGCUGCCUAAUACAAAUUCAGUAAUUUAAUUUUUUUCUCAUACUAGCACUGAACACAUUUUCACUGUUUUUGUUUUUAGAAACAUUUUUUCAAACUAUUCUACCAGAUGCAUUAUCUAAUGUUAAAUUACAAGAAUGUUAUAUCAUUUUCAUUUUCUGAAAGGUUUUUAUGCAGAUGGUUUUGUAAAACAUCACCUGAUAGGCUCUUACUUUUCUGUAUUGUCAACCUGUCUUCAGGUCAAGAGAUGCAUGGUUAUUUUGCGCGAGAGGAUGAUCUUGGUGGUCCUAGGACUGUAAAGGAUAACAGAUCAAUCGGAUCAGCAUAUGACCGUUAUCUUCAGAAUGCGGUGACUUUCUUAAGCAUUUGAAACUAUGCCUAUUAUUAUUUGUGUUACAUCUCUCUGUUUCUGUACUAAAACAUUUGUCCUACUUGCUUCUAAAGGAAAUGGCUUCGUACACUUCUGGAGAAGCGAGUACUUUUGGUGGAGCUGGAAUGGGAAGGGCUGUUGGUGGUGGAAUGACAGGUCCUCCAAUGGCUGAUCAUUCUAUGAGGGGCCGUCCUGGAGCUAUGUCUUCUGAUGUACUAACAAAUGGUCGAAAUAUGAAUCUUGCUAAUCAGCUCCCAGUUGAUUCAAUGCCUAGGCCUGGACGUGAAACAGUUCCUUUACCUCUGGAUGCAUCCAGCACUUUAUAUGUUGAAGGACUUCCUCCUGACAGCACAAGGAGGGAAGUAGCUCGUAUCCUUUAUGAUGCUUAAGAAUUAUUGCAUAUUGCUUUCCAAUCUUAUUGUUUAACUCAAUAGUUUUUCCAUCGCUCCUCCUUUACAUAACUCUUAAGAUAUCUUUCGUCCUUUUGUGGGAUACAAAGCAGUGAGGCUUGUGAGCAAAGAGUCCAAACACGUAUGUGGGGGUGGAUUAUUGUAAACAAUUACUUUUCUUAGUCAUUCUGUUUUUCUUGAUCACUCUGACUUGAGAUUGUCGUUGUGCUACUUGGUUCGACUCUUGGGAAGUUUAUAAUCUUUCUUCACACUAAUAUUCCGGUUUGUCCAUAAUGCAGCGUGGCGGGGAUCCUCUUAUUCUUUGUUUUGUGGAUUUUGAAAAUCCAGCCUGUGCAGCAACUGCUCUGAGUGCCUUGCAAGGUGAUUGCUUUUUAUUGUCAUCAACCUUGGUGACUAUCAGUGUCAAAGAAAGCUUAAUUCUUUCUUUCUGUUUUUAUUUGUUUCCUUUAUAGCUUCACAAGUGUUAUUUUCUAUCAUACCUUAUUCAAUCAUGUAAAGGGUAAAUUUAUGUUAAAAUUCUUCCAUGCAUAGUAGGUGUAAAGAGGUUGAGGCAGUUCAUAAAAAUGUUAUAGAUGGCUUCUUGUGAUUUAAUAUUGGAGUUCAUAAUAUCUCUACACUACAUAUCGUGUAGAACUAGCUGGAUUGCUCAUUAUUUUCCCAUGUUUGUUGUUUUUGAAAAGCUGGAAGAUGCUGACAUUUGUGUUGCUGGAAGAUGCUGACAUUCAUGUAAUUCCAUGCAUAGUGUUUUAGUAUGUGUAAAGACGUUGAGGCAGUUGAAAAAAAAAAUGUUAUAGAUGGUUUCUUGUGAUUUAAGAUUGAAGUCCAUAAUAUCUCUACACUCCCGAUUGUGUAGAACUAGUAUUGCUCAUUAUAUUUUCCCGUGCUCGCGGUUUUUGAAACGCUGGAAGAUGCUUACAUUUGUGUUGCGUUUGCAGGUUAUGAAAUGGAUGAACAUGCUCCUGAUUCUAAUUACUUGCGGCUGCAGUUUUCUCGGUUCCCUGGUCCUAGGUCUGGACCUGGCCGUAACAAGAGGUGAUAGGCAUUAGGUGAUGAGAAAUAUCUGUUUUUGAUGUAAUCAAGAUUGCAUUUGCUUUUAAUACAUUCCAUAUAUAUAUAUAUAUAUAUAUAUAUAUAUGUAUUGCUCAGGCUUGGGCACACACCAACUGUAAGCACUUCUGAUGCACAUUGUUGUUUCGAGGUAGUGAAUCAGAAACAGUUUUAUAGUUGUGCAAUUAAACAGAGAUCUGAUUUUGCACGUCCAUGGUCUACAAAAUUUGUAAGUGUUUUUAGAAGUGGCAAGUUUCUCAGGCACAAACCCUUUAAAAACUAGUGUGUUUUUUUAGCAUGGAUUUGCAGGCUUCUGUUACAUAUAUCAUAUGGUAAGUGAUUUCCGCUCGCUUUUUCUCCUUGUACAACUCCUUUUUUCCUAGUUUAAGGGUUGGAUAAAUCAAAUCAAAGGAGAAUAAGUGGAAAGAAACAUAAGGUGAAUGCAGGAGGAGAAAAUGGGAACGUGCCGAUGACUACCGAUCAAACUCGUCUUUUCUUGUAACUUCCAACUGCAUGGAGAAAAGCAAGACACUGCGUGAUGAGAAUGGGCAUUGCAUGGUGUCAUGUCUUGUGGUGUUAGAAAUUUGAUCCGAGUCCUUCCCAUUUGGACUACAGUUAAGGACAGGCUCUACUAUGUCCUCCCAAUGCUAAGCACUAGGUAGUGGGCUGCCGACUAGUCUAUGUGCCACUGUACAUAUCACAUGGGCUUUCAACCCAUAAUCCUAUCCUGCUAGAGCUUCCCCCUACCCUUCUUGAAAUUAGUAUACCGUCAGGUAUGUUGCUGUCUCUCAUAUCACGUGACUAAUGAUUCGUUUGGAAUUACUUCUUUCAGAAACACUUAUACUACAAGUGUUUUUAUUGUAGACACGUUAAAUCUUUACAAACAAUCCAAGUGUUCAUUGAAAAAUAUUUGAAAGUGCUUCUUGAAAAAGCAUUUGGCAAGUGCUCCUCUAAAGAUAGUUUAUACGAGUCAAAAGAAUUUCUAAUAUUUUAUCUUUAUGCCAAUCGCAACAGAACACAUUUAGCUUUUCCAGAAUCAAUCCUAAACUAGUUCUAAGCAAAGAAAGGGCAAUAUAACAUAAGGACAACGAAGAAUCUCUCUAACAUUAAAGGUUAUGUUUGUUCGGUCACUAGACUCAAACAAAAGAGAAAAGUAGAAGUGGGCAAUAAAUUGGUUUUCGAUUACCAUCAAAUUGGCACAACAUUCGGCAUUGUUUCGCAAAAGACUGCUUUUUUUUCUUAGCAUUAGUUUUACACACACUCUAGUGUGUGGUAAAAACAAGCUAGGGUUUGGUUGGAGAACAAGUCUGAGCAGUUACAUGCCAUGUGGGCUGGAGGGUUUCGUUUGGUGCCAUUACUCUUUUUUCUUGUUCUAUCAUCCUUGUCGAACUGGAAGAGAAAAAGGAGGGGAAAAGGGAGUUUAGGGCAAAAAGGAUACUGAGUUUAUAAACCAGGAAAUGUCUAAGCAAUUUGUUUGUGCCAACGUGACUGUUAUCUAAAUAUAGCGUACUUGUGGUAUAAAAGAAAAAGGCAAAAAGGGUAACUGUAAAUAGUUGUUGUACUUAAGUGUAAAUUGUCCCACAACUUGUCCAGGGACCAGUGCAUAUAAGUUGUAGCUGCAAGUGCAAGGAGCAACCUCUGGAUUAGAUAGACGGAUGGACUUGGUUUGGUAUGAUUCCAAGUCGUCGUUGAUGUUUCUUCUUCUUUGUGGCCCAGCCACCCAGGACUAUAGUCCUUAUUUGGUAGGUAUUUAUUGCAAGGCUAACUAUAGGAUUGGAGAUAGACAAAGGGAGAUGGGACAUGGAGAAUGGUUUGCCAAGUUUGUUUAGAAUGGAUCGGGAUCAAUGCCCGUUGGAUCCCUAGUAAUUGAAUAUUAGUUAAAGAUUCAACGUCUAUGAAUCUCGGUCUAUGUUAUGAACUGUUUUUACAAUUUUCGUUCAUUGUGUAUCACGUAAUAUGCAUAAUGUUAGACAAUCCACUUGUUUUAUUUGAGACAACUGUAUUUGAUGCACUUCCUAAUUUCUGUUUUCUGACUUGCUUCAAUCUACAUUCUCUUGAUAUUUUUUUUUCCAUUUUACUCGGUUUUAUGAUAGUGAGAACAUUCAACAUGGCCUCUUCUUCCUCAAGUUGCUUCUUUGUGAUACGUAUAUCUGUUUUUGUACUAAAACAUGUAUCCUACUUGCUUUUAAAGGAAAUGCCUUCGUACACUUUUGGAGAAGCGAGUACUUUUGGUGGAGCUGGAAUGGGAAAGGCUGUUGGUGGUGAAAUGACAGGUCCUCCAAUGGCAUGAUCAUUCUAUGAGGGCCAGUCCUGGAGCUAUGUCUUCUGAUCUAUUAACAUAUGGUCGAAAUAUGAAUCUUAUUAAUCAGCUCCCAGUUGAUGCAAUGCCUAGGCGUGGACGUGAAACAGUUCCUUUACCUCUGGAUGCAUCCAGCACUUUAUAUGUUGAAGGACUUCCUCCUGACAGCACAAUGAGGGAAGUAGCUCGUAUCCUUUAUGAUCCUUCUAUGAUGCCUAAGAAUUAUUGCAUAUUGCUUUCCAAUCUUAUUGUUUUACUCAAUAAUUUUUCAAUCGCUCAUCCUUUACAUUACUCUUUAAGAUAUCUUUCGUCAUUUUGUGGGAUACAAAGCAGUGAGGCUUGUGAACGAAGAGUCAGGUUUGUCCAUAAUGCAGCGUGGCGGGGAUCCUCUUAUUCUUUGUUUUGUGGAUUUUGAAAAUCCAACCCAUGCAGCAACUGCUCUGAGUGCCUUGCAAGGUCAUUGCCUUUUUCUUUUCAUCAACCUUGGUGACUAUCAGUGUCAAAGAAAGCUUAAUUCUUCGUUCUGUUUUUAUUUGUCUCUUUAAAGGUUUGUAAAUUUUUUUUCUAUCGACCUUAUUCAACCAUGUAAAUGGAAAAUUUAUGUUAAAAUUCUUCCAUGCAUAGUAGGUACAAAGUGGUUGAGAUAGUUCACAAAAAUGUUAUGGAUGGCUUCUUGUGAUUUAAUAUUGGAGUCCAUAAUAUCUCUACACUCCAGAUCGCGUAGAACUAACUAGAUUGCUCAUUAUUUUCCCGAGCUUGUUGUUUUUGAAACGCUGGACGAUGCUGACAUUUGUGUUGCGUUCGCAGGUUAUGAAAUGGAUGAACAGGCUCCUGAUUCUAAUUACUUGCGGCUGCAGUUUUAUCAGUUCCCGGAUCCCAGGUCAAGACCUGGCCGUAACAAGGGGUGAUAGGCAUUAGGUGAUGAGAAACAUCCGUGUUGAUGUAAUCAAGAUUGCAUUUGCUCUUAUACAUUAUAUAUAUUGCUCAGGCUUGGGCACACACUAAUUGUAAGCACUUCUGAUGCACAUUGUUGUUCUAGGUAGUGAAAUCAGAAACAGUUUUAUAGUUGUGUUGAACGAUCUGAUUUUGCACGUCCAUGGUCUACAAUUUACUCAAGGAAUGUUUUAAUUCUGAAUUGAGAUUGUACUGUGCAUAGACUACCGCAAAAUUAGUACAGAGAUAGUUUCCCUAUAGAUUGUUUUCAUAUACUAGAGGACUUCCAUGGCCAGGGUAUCUUGCCACCAUAUUGUCCCCGUACAUUUUCCCUCCAUAUUAGUUAUAUAUUUAUCUGGACAUUCUAACCUAAUGAAGUCCUACAAUCAUCAUAACUCAUUUUACUUAGCUCAUGCUCCUUACAAUAUUUGAUGAACUCACAUAAGAAACUCAUAGAAAUUUGUUCCCAGUCAUUACCUUUGGACUGCAGUUGAAGCUUAUGAUACAUCCUCCCAAUGCUAAGCACUAGCUAGUGGGUUGUCGACUAAUCUAUGCCACCGUACACAUCGCAGGGGCUUUGAACUCUGUCUCAAUUAUUGUAAAGACGUUAGCCUCUUCAAUGAAAGAACCCAUAGUCCUAUGCUGCUAGAGCUCCCCCCACCCUUCUUGGAAUUAAUAUAGUGUUAGGACAUAUCGCUCUAUUUCUCACAUCACGUGACUAAUGAUUUCUUUGAAGUUACUUCUUUAGGAAACACUUAUACUACAAGUGCUUUUAUUAUAUAGAAUCUUUAUAAGCAAUCCAAGUGUUCAUUGAAAACGUAUUUGAAAGUGCUUCUUGAAAAAGCAUUUGGCAAGUGCUUCUUGAAAAAGCAUUUGGCAAGUGCUUCUAUAAAAGAGCUUAUUGGGUCAAAAGAAUUUCUAAGUUUUUUUUUCUGCCAAGCACAACAGAAUACACAUUUUAGCUUUUUCCAGAACCAAUCCCAGACAAGUUCUAAGCAAAGAAAGGGCGAUACAGCCUGAAGACAACGGAGAAUUUCCCUGACGUUAAAGGUUUUGUUUGUUCGGUCACUAAACCCAAAAAAAUAGAAAACUUGAAGUGGGCAAUGAAUUGGUUUUCGAUUUCCAUUAAAUUGGCACAACAUUCGGCAUUGUUAUGCAAAAAUAUACUUUUUUCUUAUCAUUAGUUUUACACACACUCUAGUCUGUGGUAUAAAAUGAGCUAGGGUUUGGUUGGAGAACAAGUCUACGUGGUAUCAUCACUUACAUUACAUGCCAUGUGGGCUGGAGGGUUUCAUUUGGUGCCAUUACUCCUUUUUCUGUUCUAUAAUCAUUUUGGAACUGGAAGAGAAAGUGGAGGGGAAAAGGUAGUUUAGGGCAAAAAUUUUCCAAUCAAUUUUUUGGCAGUGUGACUGUUUUCGAAAUAUAGAGUAGUUGUGGCAAAAAAGAAAAAGGAAAGGGGUAAUUGUACAUACACAUUGUUCCAAAGGGUCAGUUGUCCCACAACUUGUCAAGGGACCAGAGCAUUAAGUUGUAGCUGCAAGUGCAAGGAGAAAGUUGUGGAUUAGAUAGACCAAUGGAUUUGGUUUGGUUUAAUUCCAAGUCAUCGUCGUUUCUUCUUCUAUGUGGCCCAGCCGCCCAGGACUUUAGUCCUUAUUUGGCAGGUACUUAUUACAAGGUUAGAUAAAGGGAGAUGAUACAUGGAGAACGGUUUGCCAAGUUUGUUAGAGUGGAUCCGGAUCCAUGAGUGUUGGAUCUCUAGUAAUUGAAUCUUUAGUUAAAGAUUCAAUGUCUCAACGAUCUAUGCUAUACAUUUGUCUUUACGAAUUUUCAUUCAUUGUGUAUUACAUAAUAUUCUUGACCCUCUUAUAUGUGACUUCGGCCGACUUCUAUCACCCGAUAUCGUUGUGUAAUAACUUGAUGAGAUAGCCAAUGCUUAGGUCAUCUUCAAUGGAGAUGGCUAAAGGUCAAAAAGCUAAAAAAUAGUAUGAUUUGUUCAAAAACUCAUCUCCAACCAAUGUCAGAGCUAUAAUUAUAUGGAGCCCACCAUGCCAUUAUUUGGCUAGUGCCCCUUUCUUAGCCCCUUUUUGGGGCCUAGCUCCUCGAUUAUGCCAUCUGCAAUGAAGAGGGCUAAAUGUCUAAAAGCCAAAAAAUGACAUGAUUUACCCAAAAACUCAUCUCCAACCAAUAGCUAGGUUAUAAUUCUAUGGAUUCAACAGUUAGAUUUGGAAACAUCCAAUGUUAGUUUAAUUAAAUUAAAGUAUAAACUUAAAACUAAUAAAUUAUUAGGGAGCCUAUGUUUUAGCCCUUUCGGUUGGAGAUGGUAUAUGAGUAUGGCCGACACUAUUCAUUUAAAAAUAAUUUUUUUGUUGGGUUAUAAUUUUGGAUGAGGCUAUGUCUAGCCCUUUUGGUUGGAGAUGACCUUACAAUGAUUAAUUCAAAUUCAAUGGUUAAAUUUGAAAAUAUCCAACAAAACAUCCAACAGUAGUUUAAUUAAAUUAAUCAAUAAUUUUAAGUAUAAACUCAGAACUAAUAAAUUAUUGAGGGAGUUAUGUUUAGCCUUUUCGGUUGGAAAUGAUAUAUGAGUAUGGCCUAAUACUGUUUAUUAAAAAAAAAAUCUUUAGUUAUCUCUGCUAAUCAAUAAAACACUCAUUGUCAACCAAAAUCCUAUGAAAUUACCAGUUUAACCUUCUAAUUAAAACAAAACAUGAAUAAGAAAUAUGGGGCGGAAAUUUAAUUUUACACAAACAAAAUUUGUUGUUUUUUUUUUUCAAAACUUCAUCUAUAUAUAAUUCUAACAUAUCUCUAAUUAUAAAAUAAAUAAAAAAUAAAAAUAAAAACUUCCUACUCCCACAUUCUCUAUCACUCCCUUCCUCUCUUCUUUUAUUUUAAAACAAAAAAAAAAAUUUCACAUACUUUAUAUAUGCCCAUAUGCUAGUAAUUAUAAACGAAACUAUAUUUAACUAUUUCGUUGAAAAUGACCGUACGAGUAUGUAAAUUUUGAAAUGUGAGUUGUCGUUCACUACGCAAGCAAAGAUCGAAAGCCUUCAUGUACCGAGGGGUCCCACUCCUUGAAUCAGAAUAAAAGUGCUUUGAAAAAGUCCCUUUAAUUAUGUCCAAGUUUGGAUAAAAUUUGUCCAUGCAUGGCAUGCACUCACUGACUGAUCUCGUCGUCCUGAAGGGUAAGAGAGGUAAAUUCCAGAAUAACCCACGAGGCACUGUAUGAAGCCUGUCAAUUACAUCAACUCAUCAAGCUUUCAAUCUUUUCAUGGCAUGCCUAACUUCUGUGAAAUAUGCUCAACAUUUAACAUUUUGUAAACCAAAAAGAGAGUAAGAGAGAGAUGAUUGAAGUAAUAAAGUAAAAGCGAAAUGCAUGCAUUGAUAAAAGGAAAUUUUAACAAAAAAAAUUUCGGUACUGUUUACUUUAACAAAAAAUUAUAUUUUUACAUUAAAAAGUCAAUUCUAAUACUAUUCAUUUUACCCUUUAUUUGUUCUUUAUUGUUAAAAAUCAAAUUUUUCAAUCCAUUUUUAUUAGUUUUCCUUUGAUAAAAGGAGAAAGAUGCAUGGAGAACUGGUUUUUUAUUUUAUUAUUAUUUUUUUUACAAACAAUAAUAUUAGAGUGGAUUAAGUUAUUAGCUGUUAGCGAGAAGAGGAUCAAUAAUAAUCAAACUAGCACCCGGAUGUAUAAGCAUAAUUGUUUUCUAAAAUUGCAAUAAAACGUCACUUUCCAUAUAUAUAUAUAUAAAAAAAAAAAACUUAUUGUUCCUUGUAUGAUGGAUUGCAAUCUCAAUAUCGUUCUUAAUGGAACGGCCACAAUUAGUUGUUCAGGACAUAAACAAUAUGUAUUGUCUUUAUAUUUAGGAAAUUGGCUCUGUUAGCCUUAUUACAAACCCAACAAUUAAAAAUACUCCCAAAUUAUAAUCUCUAUUAGCCCUCUUUUCCUUAAAUACCACUAACUUGAAAGAUGAACUGUUAUUCUAUGUCUCGACGUUGGAUCUCGAUGGCAUCCAAAAGGGCCUCUCAACUCCCUUCCGACUGUAUCUCGACUGAAUCACGACGGCAUCUCAACGGCACAGAACUGAAUUACCCUUAUAUUUAUGAGUUGAUCAGACACUCCAAUUAAAUAAAAAUAACUAUAAUUAUGUCAAAAUUAUUUAGUCAGUCUCACGUAUAUAUAAUUAAUUCAUCAAACACAUAAACAAAAAAGUUCUUGUAUGUAUGCUAUACUUUGAUUUGUCUCAACAAGAAAUGACUCAGUCAUCUUUUUAUCUAUGUCCAUUGAGUUUAUGGAGGGCAACAUAUUGAGAUCUCAAAAAUCUUAUUCUCAUACAACACACUUUUUUUUUUGAACAAACGAUAUUAUCUACACUAAGGGAAAAUGGGUGGCCUAAACCUCACAAUGGGCUAGCAAUAAUGUGGUUCAAAUUCACAUUUGGCGAGAAUCAAACCUAAGACCUCUCACUGACAAGUGAAGAAGAAUAUCACUAGACCGUAGUCCUAAAAAAAAUAUAGAUCUUAUAGUCUUGCAGUGUUUUAGAUUAGCUAAAACGUUGGUAUCCAUAUUAACUUACCAAAAAAAAUAUGUUGAAUUUGCUACACCUGGAAUUUGUAGCAGAUUUGUCAUUUUAUAAAGGGGUUUUUAACUCAUUUAAAAAAAAAGAAGGGGUUUUUAACUUUAAUUCUUAAAAAAAAUUGAAAUUUAAUAAAAAUCGGAUGUUAGAUUACAUAUUAAUUAUUGUCCUUUAAUGUGUUAUUAACUCAAAUUAAUUAAUGUGUAUUUUAUUCAAUAUCUCACAUUAAAUAUUUGAAUUUAUGAAAAUGAAAAUUAUAAUAAAAUAUAAUUAAUAUAUCAAAAUUAGAAAGAAAAAGAGAAAUAAUUAAAACAUCAAAAUAUAAUUAAUAAAUGAAGUAAUUAACAUAUCAAGAGACUAAAAUUAGAUUUUAAUUUUACUCAUGUUUUUAAUUUAAAGUUAUUUUUAUCAAAAAUUAAAAUGAAGUUUCCUAUUUUGUAAAUUACAACGAUGAAAAAUGACGCGUUGCACGUAAGAAACAACAUCUAUAUUUUCUCUUUUGUUUAAUAUGCCAUCAAACAUAUCCAUCACAUUUUAAAUUUUGUGGAAGUCCCUCUCUCACAUUGAUAAAGUCUGGUUUGUGUUGGACAGCUGUCCAACAGACAACCCAAAAAUCUUCCAAAAACCAACAAACAUUUCUGACCAGUCAUGCAUACGUAUGCAUGGACCCAAUGGCAUAUAAUCAAAAAUUUUAAAUAAUGGGAUCGUAAUGUCAACUUAAAAAAAAGUUUCAUUAAGCUAUUUCAUCGAACAUUUAGUAAGCAAUUGUCAAUUCUUGUCAACAAUGCCAAAAGUUUAUGUUAAAAUAUAUCAACUACGAUAAUUUGUAGAGGCUUGUCGAGAGUGAUGUAGGAUACUACGAAGUAAUAUUGAGAACUCUUAAAGCUUUUCAACUAAAGUAUUUUAUAUAAAAAGAGAGAAAAGAAAAACAAAUAUGAUAGAAGAAAAUAGAAGAAGUAAGAAGAUGAGGUUGUAAGUUAGUUUGCUUUAGCUAUUUAUAAUGGUCAAAUAAAAUAUACAAACAAAUAUACAUGAGAUUUUUAAAGUUGUUGAGAUCAAGGAUAAUCAAUGAUCCCAUUCUAGUUUUGCCAUUGCAUGGGCCGGAUAGGGAUAUGGCUAAAAUAUAAUUCUAUUAAUUGCGUUUUGGGACUUUGUCUAACAACUUGGCUCUCUCUUGACUUGGAUGCCAUGGAUGGCUCAUGCAGUUUACUAAAACUAGUAAUGUACAAUUUUCAGAGACUAUUAAUUAUCAUCUAUCAGGAAAAUUUGAUUUCCAUGCUUGCCCUUUCACGUCGGUGACUUGGAGAUAAUAUUGUUUCUUGUCCGGAGAUGAAAUAAAAUAAAAAGACUUGCACGAUCAUACUGCAUUAUAUAUAUUACACUAUAUAGUCUAUGUUGGGAGUUAUAUAUUAGUUAAAGUAUAAAUAGUAGUCUGUUAUCCUAUAUUGAUGAAGUGCAUAUGUAAUACAAAUUGUAAUUCCUAUAUAUACUCCAUUUUGGAGAUUAAUGAAUAUAUGAGAAAUUCUCAAAUAUUAUCAUAUAUAUUUUUGGUAUUUACCAUGUUUAGUUUAAUAUAGCAUCAAAGCAGUUCGCUCUUGGUGACCUGUGUGCUUUAAUUUUGUGCCCCACAUUUGUCAUGAUUUCCUUCGUCUUGAAAAAAAAAAAGGAAAGUAAAUAGUGUUGCACUACAGUACAAACAGUGCGUAAACAGUGGUAUGCUACAGUGUUCAUGAACAAUAUUUUGCUACAGUGCCAUUAACAGUGAUCUACUACAUCACUUGAACAGUGAUGUGCUACAGUAUUAUGGUAAAUUGUUUUCAUUCCGCUGCCUAUCUUUUGUGCCUUUAUUGUUUGUGAUUUAAUUCAAUGGCUCAGUAUAAUCAUAAUGUUGUUAUGCAUCUUGGUGGAACAAAUAAAUGGAUAAUUGAUACUGGGACCACUAAUCAUGUGACUAGUGACCCUAGAAUGUUUGAUGAGUUAUGUGACUAUAUUCUUGAUCCGUAUAUUACUAGUGCAAAUGGAGCACAUUCCCCCGUGAAUGUUGAAGGCAUUAUCUCUCUUACUUCGACCUUAUCACUGGUCCAUACUUUACUUGUUCCUGAUGUUAAGUGCAAUCUUUUGUCGGUAGAAAAACUACUUGAUACUUUAUAUUGUUUUGCUCACUUCUACCCUACGUAUUGUUAUUUUCAAGACAUUCAAACUCAGAAAGUAAUUGGUCAUGGUAAAAGAAUAGAGGGUUGUACAUCUUGACUAUGGAGGAUACUGUUGUUUCCGGUUCAAAUAAUCAUCAAGUUUUAAGUGCUAAAGUGGAUGACAUACAUCAAAUUUGGUUGUGGCAUUGGCGAUUAGGACGUCUAUCAUUCAGUUAUAUGAAGCAUCUAUUUCCUGCUUUGUUUCGCAUUUGUAGUGAUUCAUAAUUCAAGUGUGAAGCAUGUGUCAUGGCUAAGAGUCAUCGUGCUUCCUUUCCCAUAAGUGAUUCUAAAGCUACUUUGCCAUUUGAUUUAAUACAUUCUGAUGUGUGAGGUCCGGCAAAUGUUACUUCUAAUGAAUUUCGUUGGUUUGUUACUUUUAUUGAUGAUUGUACUCGAUUAACUUAGGUGUUAUUGAUGAAGAAUAAGAGUGAUGUUCAUUUGCUUCUUCAAGAAUUUUGUGCAAUGGUGUAUACUCAGUUUCAGACCAAAGUUAAGGUUUUCAGGUUUGAUAAUAGAGGAGAAUAUGUGAAUCACACUUUGACAUGCUUUUUUCGUGAUCAGGGUAUUAUUCACCAGACGACUACUUUGUUUACACCCCAACAAAAUGGUGUGUCAGAACAGAAGAAUCGUCAAAUAAUGGAGGUUGCUCACUCAUUGAUGUUGGAUAAAUGUGUUCCUAAUCAUUUAUGGGGUCAUGUUGUUUUGGCUGUUGUAUAUUUGAUAAAUCGUGUUCUAAGUAGGGUUCUUGAUUUUCAGACACCACUUGAUGUGUUACAAAAGCAUGUUUAUCUUGUUUCUGUAUCAAAACUUCCUCCGAAGGUGUUUGGGUGUAUUGCGUAUGUGUAUGUCUACUCUUAUCAGCGGAGUAAACUUGAUGCAUGUGUUCUUCGAUGUGUAUUUAGUAGGUAUGCUAACAAUCAGAAAGGCUAUAAGUGUUAUCAUCCUCCGACUCAUAAAACUUAUAUUACCAUGGAUGUCACUUUCCACGAGGAAGUUUCGUAUUUUGUGAAGCCAUCUUCCGACUCUCCACUUCAGGGGAAAAAAGGGAGUGAAGUGCAUAUUUGAAGAGAUGGUAUGGAUGAUGUGUUACAGGCAGAGUUGGGGAUAGAACCUAUUAUGUUGCGUGAUACUGAUCAGUCGGUUAUAGAUAGUGAUCUGUCACCUAUUAUUCCUAAAACUAUUUUUACUGACGACAGAUUAGAUGUGCCCAACGAGUUGCUUGUCAGUAUGUCUGACGAAUUACUUUCUGAUGACCGAUUGCUUGCUUCUGGUAUGUCUAACGAGCUGCCUGAUGAUGGUUAGUUCAGUGAUGGUUCAUCCAGUGAUGAUUCUUUUAACAAUUUGGUACAAGAUAAUGACAUACAUGAGUUAAAUUCUGACGAUUCUUCUAUUUAUUAGUUGCCUCCACGAGCUAAUCGUGGAAAACCUAAGGUACAAUAUGAGCCUGAUAUGCAUGCCAAAUCCAAAUAUCCUAUCAACAAUUAUGUGUUUACUCAUCGUUUGUCCAAACCAUUUUCAUCUUACAUAUGUCAGCUAUCUAGUGUAUCAAUUCCAACAAAAUUGCACGAUGCCUUGUCUGACCCUAAGUGGGUUAAUGCCAUGAGAGUUGAGAUGGAAGCCUUGGAAAAGAAUUCUACUUGGGAUUUGGUUCAUUUACCAAAUGGGAAGAAAGCUGUUGGAUGUAGAUAGGUGUUCACUAUUAAGCACAAAGCAGAUGGUUCUAUUGACCGGUAUAAAGCCAUAUUAGUUGCUAAGGAUUAUACUCAAACCUAUAGGGUGGACUAUCAGGAGAUUUUUGUUCUUGUUGCCAAACUUAAUACUGUGUGUGUUCUUCUGUCCUUAGUAGCAAACCAGGAUUGGCCUCUGUUGCAGUUUGAUGUUAAGAAUGAUUUCCUUCAUGGUGAUCUCAAGGAGGAAAUUUAUAUGGAUCUCCCACUUAGUAUUAGAACAUCUCCUGAAAAAUGUGUUGUAUGCAAGUUGCAAAAAGCUUUGUAUAGUUUGAAACAAUCUCUUAGAGUGUGGUUUUGGAGGUUUACAAGUUCAAUGAAGAAGUUUGGGUAUGUCCAGAGUCAUUCAAAUCAUACUUUGUUUCUAAAUUGUUUCUAAAGCCACAAAAUGGUAAGCUAACUGCAUUGAUUAUUUAUGUUGAUGACAUGUUAGUGACUAGUGAUGAUCAAAAGGAGAUACAACGCCUUAAAAAAGUACCUAGCUAGUGAAUUUGAGAUGAAAGAAUUGGGUGAAUUGAAGUAUUUUCUUGGAAUCGAGGUUGCACAAUCCAAGCAUGGUAUUUUUCUGUCUCAACAGAAGUAUGUUCUUGAUUUGUUAGUUGAAACAAAUCUGUUAGAUUGCAAACUUAUUGAUACUCUGAUUGAGCAAAAUCAUCAUCUGGGCUUAUUUCCGAAUCAAGUUCCUACUCAUAAGGAACGGUAUCAGAGGCUUGUGGGGAAAUUAAUUUAUUUGUCUCACACUUGCCCUGACAUUGCUUAUGCAGUUAGUGUAGUAAGUCAGUUUAUGCACUCACCUAGUGAAGCUCAUAUGGAUGAAAUAGUCCGUAUUUUGAGGUGCUUGAAGAUGGCUCCUGGCAGAGGCUUGGUUUUCUCCAAGAAUGGUCAUUUGAAUGUCGAAGGGUAUACAGAUGCAGAUUGGACAAGUUCUAUCACUGAUUGGCGGGUGGUAAUCUAGUUACUUGGAGAAGUAGAAACAAAAAAUGGUGGCUAGGUCAAGUGCUGAAGCUGAGUUUCGUGGUAUGUCUCAUGGUGUAUGUGAGUUGUUGUGGUUAAAAAAAUUGUUGAGAGAUCUUGGAUUUAAACCCAAUGGUGCUAUGAAACUCCAUUGUGAUAACAAGGCUGCUAUUGAGAUUGCUCAUAAUCCAGUGCAACAUAAUCAAACAAAACAUGUGGAGAUUGAUCAACAUUUCAUCAAGGAAAAUUUGGAUGCUGGAAUUAUUAUGUUUCCGUUUGUGAGAUCUGAAGAUCAACUCGCUGAUGUACUUACUAAGACUGUGUCUAAUAGUGUGUUUUCCAACUCGCUUGACAAGUUGGGCAUGCAUGACAUCUUUGCUCCAACUUGAGGGGGAAUUUUACGAGUUAUAUAUAGUUAAAGUGUAAAUAGUAGUCUGUUGUCCUACAUUGAUGAAGUACAUAUGUAAUACUAAUUGUAACUCCUAUAUAUACUCCACUUUGGAGAUUAAUAAAUAUAUAAGAAAUUCCCAAAUAUUGUCAUAUAAAUUUUUGGUAUUUAUCAUGUUUAGUUUAAUAGUCUAAACAUCAGGAAAUACACCAACCCUAAACCUAAUGGAUUUUAUGAAGCCGCUGGUUUGGGUACACAUUAAUCUAACCUAAUUGCUCUACCACAUUCUAAACACAAAAUUUGUUAUAAAUAGGAUGAUUAAAUUUAUUUUCUCAAGCGGUAGAGUAGUGAACCUCACAGCGACGACAAUCUUCCACCCCCAAAUUCGGGUUUUUUUGUACUAAAAUGGUCUUUUAUGUAUAAGAACUUUACGAUAAGUUUAUUAAAAUUGGCUCUGUAUCUACGAAAUCUCAACAUCCAUACGUUACAAAAUGGAUUAGAACUCCUAGGAAAUAAAAUAGAACAUAUGAUGAUCCCUUUAAAGGGCCUUAUAAUGGGGAAGACUUCUCACAGAAUAUAAGAAGACGAAGAGGAAAACUAAAAACUUAGAACUUCAAGGAGAUGGACUGGAGCAGGGAGAAUGGCAAAGAACCGGAACCCAGAAGACCCGCAACGAAAAAGAAAACACUGUACUUUUUUUAGACAUUUUUUCACAUUUCUUCUCGGCCUUACAGCCAAGUAGCAUUUUCCGACCCCAAAUAAAGAUAGAAGGAAAAAACCAAAUUAAGGUAAAUAAAUUUUCUAUAGCAACUUGGCAAACAAAAACAUACUAGAAGAAAACAAGGAAAAUACAAAGAAAUUAAGGAAGUAUGGGAAACAAAAUAAAUUUAAUACGGGACCAACGACAACGGUGCAAAUGUAUAUUGUUCAGGAAAUAAACUUUUAGCGAAAAUGUGCUGCAAAAUUGACCAAUUUUGCUUCAUAUUCACACUCAAUUUUUUUAAGAAUUAAUAUCUGUAGAGUUUAGACCAAAAAUAAAAUAAAAAACAAAACCAAAAUGCUACUCCACUUUCUUGGUACUUAACUCAGCUCUCCACCUCCUUCCAAUCUUACAAGCUUCUAGAUUUAGAUUUGUCUCAAAUCACAUGCCAACUAACCUGCCCAGCUCAAUUUUAUUUUUUCUUUGGAAAUUCCAGUGCGUCUCUACUUUUGUUUUUCUAAAUCUUACUUACUCCCAUUAUAAUUGGAAUUUUAUAUAUUUAUAUGGAUGCUUUGUCAAGAUAUGAGAGAAAUAGUAGUGAUUCAAAAAGAUGAUUAGGAGCCAAAAAUAUUUAUUAUUUUAGAUUGGUGUUUAUGUUUUUGAACAGUUAAAAACUUUUUUGGUCAUUGUGUUUAUGUUUAAAAUUUAUUUUGGUCACUGUAUUUUAUUUUCUGCUAAUUUAGUUACUGUGUUAUCACAAGUUAGCAAUCUUAGUCCUUCUCAAUCAAACGUUAAAAAAAACGCACAUGACAUGCAAGUGCAGGGGUAACUAUGUAAGUGAAAAUAUAUCUUUGCCCCUGCACGAAACUGUCACGUGCAUUUUUUUGGCGGUUGACUUAUGGUAACGCAGUGACCAAUUUGGCAGAAAAUAAAACACAAUGACCAAAAUAAAUUUUAGAAAUACACACAGCGACCAAAAACGUUUUAAUUUAACCCAUUUUUAACAGUCCAGCCAGCUACCAUGAAAGCUACAACAUGAAAGCUGACUGUCAAAAUUUUGUUUAAAAAUUCAUACACAAUAAUCGUCAUAAGAACGUGCAAUAGGUACUUUGAAUUCUUAAAUAUACUGCAUGGUUACCCUUUCCUUUUGUUUUAUACAGAGAAAUCUUGACAGGCAGUCAAAAGCAAAAUUAUGUUCUUCUAGUGAUAUCUGUGUGCUAAAAAGGAAGUACGUAGCUACGUUCAGUCUUCACCUAACACUCCUAUUUGCACCUAAAAGAUGUGGAUAACAAAGAUUUUGACCAAAAUCACAUUGACAAGUACUUGCCAAAGGAUCACGGAACCUAUGAUUGUAAAAGAUAUACGUGUUGGGCCUGACCGACGUUAAUUAGUUGUUCAUAUUGAUUUGAGAAAUUUGAUUGAAUGAGGAUUAACAAAUCACAAUUGCUAAAAUAUUAAAAUGUAUUAACUGCGACAUAUUGGUUAAAUAAUUAUUGCACAUCGAAAAAAUAUUGACGAGUAAUUAUGAAUUUUUAUUUUCAUUAUUUCAAACAUUUUUAUAUUAGAAAAGCUAAAGAAAAUGAUUUAAAAACUUUGAAUUUUAAUGAUACGUACAAAAUGAAAGGUAAAAUAAAUAGUACCAGAAUUAACUUUUUGUUUAAAUUUUAUUUUCUAUUUGGCAUCAACUUUUGGUUUAAAUAUACUAUAUAACCCUCACAAAAGAAAAAGCAUGGUGUACUAGUAGCUAAAAGACAUAAAAAAGGUUAAUCUUAAUUUAUUAUUCUAAAGUUUCUUAGUUUUCAAUAUUUGGUAUAUAAAGUUUUUUUUAUUCUAGAGUUGUACAUAAAGUUAUAAUUUUGGGAUACUUUCAUACAUCCAUUAAGGUUGCUGUUAAAUUUAUCAUUAACUGAUGAUAUGACAUUUAUGUUGACAAUGACACGUAGAUAUUAAAAAUUAAAAAUUAAAUUAAUAAAAUAAUAAAAAUUAAAAAAAAAAAAAAAUUGGGCGUCUUCACCCUCACCCCUUCUGACCCCCCUCCCUUCUCUCCUCUGCACCCACGCUUCCCCCUCCCUCUUCGACUCCACCCAACGCUGCACUCCGAGGAUUGUUGCCAUCCUUUCAAGCCCAAUUUCGCCCCCAAAUAGGCCCGGGCAGUACUUGGCCAUAAACUUCAAGUCGUAGACCCUCUCGAACAAACGACCUGCCAUCUUUGCGAACUCAGUGGGGGAGCUGAGGAUGGUCUUCCUCGUCACCAGCUUCAUUACAUAGGCCGAGUCGUAGAGGCCGUGGAAGCUCACCCAUACGAGCUGCCCCCUGUGCACCCUUAAAAUCUCAACGAAACCCUCCACAAAAAUAUCCGAAUCAAUGCCGAACUUCCCAAAUUUCUCGAGAUCCAAGCCAUUCGCUUUGAGGAGGGCAAUGGAUUCUGGAACAUGGGGGUCGGUUUCCUCGUCAAAACCCCGAAAGUUGAACUCCCAGGUGCCGCCGACGUUGCCGCGGUCGUCGAACAGGGUGAUACCCACUUGGAUGAGAUUGAGAGAAUCGACAUUAAGGGCGAUAUCUUGGUAACGGAGGCCCUUGGAAGUGCCUCUGGGGGUGUUGCGGAGGAACCCCGGAAAUUCGGUGUCGAACGAGACGAUCGGAAAACGGCAGAGACACCGAUCGACGGAGGGAAGGGGAAAGGUGGGUGCAAAGGAGAGAACGGGAGUGGGGUCGGAAGGGGUGAGGAAGAAGAUGCCCAAAUUUUUUUAUUUAUUUAAUUUUUUUAGUUUUUAUUAUUUUAUUUUUUAAUAUGCACGUGUCAUCAUGUCAUUGUCCACGUGGAUAACACAUCAUUAGUUAACAGUAAAUUUAAAGGCAACCUUAAUGAAUGUAUAAAAUUGUUCCAAAAUUAUAACUUUAUGUACCACUCUGAGAUGAAAAAAACUUUAUUUACCAAAUAUUGAAAACAAAAAAACUUUAAGAUAAUAAACUAAUAUUAAUCCUAAAAAACUACUAAAGGAAAGGGUGAAAGAAAAAAUUAUUAGUUUGUGCUGUUCUCAUGGUAAUAGUGGUUUUUGUAUUGUACGAUCAUGUGUUACAUUUUAUGCAUUAUUAUGUGGAUGAAUGAAUAAGUUAAUUACAUCGCAUGUCAUAGGGUGAAUAUUACAUUAAAAAAUUCUUCAUUCUUGUUAUUCGUCAAAUUAAUGGUUGUGCAUUUGUAUGAGGACCUAGAUCUGUUGAGGAUGCAGAUCUUCACUCGUUGAAGGCCAUCCCUAUCUAUCUACUACUACUCUUUGGAAAAUAAUUGACUACAGAUGAUUGUACAAAAAAAUAAUUAAUAUUAUCUGAACAGCUCACCAUGCAUGUUCAGUAAAGUAAAGCGGAUUUGUUUAUUCAUUGUCUAGUUCAAACUUGGGGAGCAUUUUCUCAUUCUUGCGGUGAUCAGAAUAAUGUGAUUUAAGUCCAGUUAAACAUGCUUAAUUAUGCAUUUAAGCAUCUUUUAUUUAUUUGCUUUCAUUAUUUUUUCCUUCUUAAUGUGUUGUUAUUGUUUGGAACAACAAGUAAGACAAAUCUAGCCAGUUAGCAUUCACCGCAUCACCGCAUAAUGAAAGAUUAUUCAUAUUUGGAAAUGAAUAAUUAAUUAAAAAACUGUAUUAUUAAGGCAAAUGGGCACUUAAUAUUUGUAUCUUAAACCUUCCGAGUCGGAUAUUCGAGUAAAUUAGUUAAAAAGCUAUGCAAAAUGUGAAUGUGACAGACUACGUAGUAAAGUUUGGGUUAAGAGAGAGAGAGAGAGAGAGAGAGAGUAUUUCGCAGCCGGCUGGUCCCUAUGUACGGGAAGAAUCAUAGAAAGUUAGGUAACUACACACAUUUUUCAAAGAUGUCGAUCAUGAAAAAUAUUUGAUAACAAAUUCAGGGAGGACAUACUGCUUAAAUUAUUAACCUAGAAAUAAAGUUCGAUCUCUUGCUUUAACUUUUCUGCUACGUAGCUCUUAUUGCAUUAAACAAAGCCUUAUUAAAGUAAAGAUGGUCACACCCUUAGCCCUUUAGGUGAUACGUUCAGGGAAAUGGUUAAUGUUUUUACAAGCUCUUGUUUAUUUUUAUUUUUUAAUAUUUUCAGAUAUUUUUACAAUCUUUUACUGCGCAGUAAUAGAGUGUAAAAAUCAUAUCUAUGUAUUUAUUUAUUAUUAACUAUGUUUACAAUGAACCUUCUAUUCCAUGAAACAAGAUAUAAAAAUAAAAAUAAAAAGGAGAAGGGCAUAAAUUAACAAAAUUCGGUCAAAGGCCGCAUUGGUCCAAACAUUAAUUGAUAAUCUAUGACAAAUAGUCUGGCCCCAUUAGCAUUAUUUUAACAGUAAUAUUGUUUUUUUACUAAGAUAAUUAAUAAUUGCCAAGUGAAAAUUUGGCAUGAGUACCAUUGUGAAGGGUAAAAACCAAAGCUAUAUAAAGGGUGAGGAGGCUUAGCUUCAGAGGCAGACAACCAAAAACCCAUUCUUAACGAAGGAUGGGAAAAAUGGUGCCUUCACAAGUGACCUCUCUUGUGGUCACUCUCCUAGUGGCAAUAGUCUCUCUCACAUUGCCUUCAGAAACUUCAGCUAACUACCCUUACACCUCUCCACCACCACCGGCCUCUCCUCCCUACCAUUACAAGUCACCACCGCCUCCUUCUCCUUCUCCUCCAGUGCACUACUCACCACCUAAGCAUCCCUACCACCCUAAGUCACCACCACCUCCUGUGUACGCACCACCUAAGCAUCCCUACCACCCUAAGUCACCACCACCUCCUGUGUACCCACCACCUAAGCAUCCCUACCACCCCAAGUCACCACCACCAUCACCAAAGCCUUACCACUACAAAUCCCCACCACCACCUCCUGCUCCAGUGCACUCACCACCCCCACCUAAGGAGCCAUACCACUACAAGUCCCCACCACCACCACCCAAGAAGCCCUACCACUACAAAUCUCCCCCACCACCUCCUCCUCCAGUUCACUCACCACCACCACCCAAGGAGCCUUACCACUACAAAUCUCCACCACCACCACCCAAGAAACCUUACUAUUACAAGUCUCCUCCACCACCACCAAAGAAGCCUUACCACUACAUGUCUCCUCCCCCACCGGUGUACUCACCACCUCCACCAGUGCACUCACACCCACCACCAAAAAAGCCUUACCAUUACAAAUCUCCUCCCCCGCCAGAAUAUUCACCAGCUCCACCAGUGCACUCAACCCCACCACCAAAGAAGCCCUACCAUUACAAAUCCCCACCACCACCACCACCACACAAGAAGCCUUAUUACCCUGUUCACUCACCACCUCCACCUAAGAAGCCUUACCACUACAAAUCCCCACCACCACCUUCUCCUACUCCUCCUAAAUACUCACCACCUAAGCACCCCUACCACUACAAGUCUCCACCACCACCACCAAAGAAGCCUUACCAUUACAAGUCCCCACCACCUCCUUCUCCUACUCCCCCUAAAUACUCACCACCUAAGCACCCCUACCACUACAAGUCACCACCACCACCACCCCAAGAAGCCUUACCACUACAAGUCUCCACCACCACCACCUCCUCCAGUUCCCACACCAUCUCCACCCAAGAAACCUUACCACUACAAGUCUCCCCCACCACCCCCUCCAGUCUACAAGUCUCCUCCACCACCAGUUUACUCACCACCACCACCACCUAAGAAACCUUACAAGCCACCAACUCCUCCAGCAGUUCACCCACCACACGGUUACAUCUAUUCCUCACCCCCACCUCCUCACCACUACUAGAUAUUGAAAGUUUAAUUGCAUCAAGCUGGUAAGCUUCUCCAUUCUAUGCUAUUAUUCAUUAAUUAGUUAGUACUACUGUUGUCAAUUUGGAAAUCACCAUAC